Molecule: long non-coding RNA, 48419 nt
Filed under: Solanum tuberosum (potato)
Lineage: Eukaryota; Viridiplantae; Streptophyta; Magnoliopsida; Solanales; Solanaceae
Description: long non-coding RNA (STUB_LNC011940)
Source: RNAcentral
UCUUUUUUUUUUUUGGUCACACCUAACACACCAAAUAACAAUUUUUACAGUUUCACCCACAAACUUUGCAUUAAUUUCCAAAUAGUACAUCUUUAGGGUUUAAGAAACUCAUGAUUAUCUCUAAAACCCUGAGCUCACUCACUUUUUGUGUACACUCCAAAAUGGUGAACGUCGCCGGCGACGACGAUGAUGAUUUCGGUGAUAUCUACGCCGACGUAUUAGUUCAAGCAAGUUCAGCUAUCAAUGCUCUACAGAGUUCAACGAAGGUUCAAACGGAAGUUAAUGAGGUUAACUACAAUGCUGCUGUCGGAAACUGUAAUCGUGAAAAUGCUGUAAGAGGAGAAGAGGAAUGUGAGAGCGAGAGUGGAGAUGACUUGAACAUACUGUUGAAUGAUGAUGAAGGUGAUGAUAAUUUUCUCAAUGCUGGAUGUGAUGAGGAUGAAACUGAGGGAAAUGGAGGUUUUAGUGUUAGUGAUAAAGGAAAUGGUUUAGGACAGAAUUCAAAUGGCAGCGGAAGUGGCGAUGGAGAGAAAAACAGUUACAAGGUAGCAUUAUAGACUGUGAAAUUAGUGAAAAAGAGUAGUGUUAAUUUGAACUUGUUUUCGUGUUGCUUAGUUGUUGAACCUGAUUACUGAUUAGAUGAGUUGCUUUGAUUAUUGAAUGCUUAUAUUGGUUUGAUUUUAUGUAUAAAACAAGGGAGGUUAGUGUAAAGCUGAUUAUGAGGUUUGCAUAUUUUAAUAUUCCUGCCAUUUACUAUGGUCGAAGACUCUUAUUUGGCAGCAAUUAAGUUUUUCUUGCUUGAAAAACUGAAAAUUUGGUAAAUGUAUACUCUCUUCAGUUUAUUUUCUUGCAAUGCACCUACCUCCACUUGCUGCAACUUGGGGAUUUUACUGGAAAUGCCUUUAGGUGUUUUCUUCGCGAUUAUCUAUUUUUGAAUUCUUCAAGUGUGAAAAUUAUCAUGAUGAUUGAUGAUAGACUUCAUCAGCGUUUACAUGAAUUAAUGCAGUUAAGCUUUCAUGGAUUAGUCAAGGUGCUGGCCUGAAUGCCACCUAUAUGGAAAGAAAAUGGAUUAAUACUGUUCUGUACUUCUGUUACUUCAUAGUGUUUCAUUCUCCGAAUUAUGAUUUCGCCCCCUCUUUUAUGUAGAACACAAGACCACCACAAGCAGCAUACUCAAGUCAUCUCAAAGCCAAUAGAUCUUCUUGUGCGCCUUCUUACUCUACAGCAUUUGUCAAGGGCAAAUGGGAGGAUAAUAGCUACACACAAAGGGUGGGCUCAGGCUUUGCUGCUCAAAAUGGACAGAGCUUCUCACUUCCUCGGUCGAGGUUAUUAUGUUUUGUCAAACUUUGCUUGUAUUCUAAUCUUUGGUUAAUGCUUUGUUGUGUUUCCAUUUUUAUAGAAAAACAGUUCAACAUACUGUUAUAAGAAAAUUAUCUACAUUUGAAACAACUGGUUCCACUUUUUCUGGUGCAUAUUUGCUUAUUGGAGAUAAUGUUGGUCAUCUCAUCAAAGAACUGUUAUGAAAUAGGUUUACCAGAUAAAGUUGUUCUAUAUUCUUUUGUAGGCUUAAUCUUUUCAUAUUUCAUAGAUAUGUAAUUGAUCCAUAAUUUUUCAGGAAUAUAUUGGACGUGAAUAUUGAUAUGUUUGAGAAGAAACCUUGGCGGUAUCCAGGCACUGACUUGACAGAUUAUUUUAAUUUUGGCUUUGAUGAAGAUAGUUGGAAACAGUAUUGCAACUGCCUGGUAAUGAAUGCAUAUAAAUUUGUCUGUUUCUGAUAUGUAUUAGAGUAUAUAGUUUUUCCUUUUAUCAUUUCUUGUUAUCUUUGUUUUUGUAUUUCUUCCAACUUUCUAGAAUGUAUUGUGGCAAAGUUGUUUCUACUAUUUUUACUGCAUGUCUUACAUGUUUAUCAUUGGCCGUGACUUUUGAAAUAGGAUGAGCACCGAGAUCAAGCAAAAAAGAUAGUCAAAGAUUCAGACUACAAGACUUCGAAAAUUAGUAAGGUAGGAAUCUCUGGAUGAUUGUCAAGUUUUACUAUUCCUUAAAUAAUAGGUGAAGCCUUACCUUAUAAAAAAAAGAAGAAAAAGAAACAAUUAGUGAGCUUAGUGUAUCAAAUGGGUUGUGAAAGCUGAAGGUGACCAUGUUUCUGUUCAAACCAUGCUGAAGAUGACAUUUAAAAAAAAUGUAGAUGUCUUCGUUACCUAACAGUUCUUAAAUGCUAUCUGAAAUUGAACUGUUAAUGAUGUUUAUGGUAUAAACUUGCCAAUGUUCAGCCAAAAGGUAGAGAAAUAGAGGUGGAAGAGAGCAUGAUUGAGCGCCGACCAUCAACAGAUGUGGGACGUCCACAGUAUCGGGAUUCUGGUGUCGUCAUACAGGUAUCAAAUUUUUUAAUUCUUCCCUUUUCUUGACCAUCUAAUUGCUGUGUGCUCACAGGCUUGUGCUGGCACCAGAUUGCUUUGCAGCAGUCAAUGGAAGAUCCCAUAAGUUCUACAAAAGAGCAGCGGGAAGCAUCUGAGAAUGGAGAUGUUGUUGGGGGAGAUAGAAAGGAGUUUCUCUGUUUCAGUAGUGCCAGCGAAGAUGAGUUAACCAGCUUGGAAGGAAUUGGAGAAGGAUCAGGCAAGUCUACAUCUGGAAGGUAUGUCAUCUACUGGUUGAAUUGUGAUGAUAGUCUGUAACACUACUUGCAUUAUUCUUUUGCUGGUUAAUCUUCACAUUGGAACACAACUAUUUUGCGAAGGACGUGUCAGUAAAAAUGACCUUGCAGAUUUUAAUCCUUAUGUAGUUUAAGUUCGAAGGCUAUAUUAUGUUGCAAUAUAAGAGCUUGAAAUGUGACAGGUUUUCUCACAUGUUCUUGAUGCUUAGUUGGCUUAAAGUUGUCGGCUUCUAAGUCUUUUUAAGGUUUUGUUUUCCUAGACAUGCUUGCAAAAUAUUGUCAAAUUUUUCAAAGAUUUCCUUCUUCAUGGACCAUGAGUAAUCUGAUCCAUUGUCGGCUUUCUUUUUGCUAUCUUCACCUUUACUUUUAAGUCUUGCUUCUCACAUCUCUCCUGUUUUUCUGCUGAUUGAUGAUACAUAAAAAUGUAUUUAAUGGUUCAAGUUACUUCAUUCUCAUAAAAUUAACUCUGGAUUUCAGGAUUACACCUGUUUGUGAGCACGUGUCUAUGGGUUCAGAUAACUACGGAAAUUCUGAGUUCUCUGAUGCAGAUGAGCGACACCACCAAGAGGGGACCUACUGUAAUGUUGAUCAAACCUCAGGAGCAAUUAGAUCUUCUCAUGAUGCAAAUAAAAGCAGUGAGAGAGACAUAUCUGAUCCAAGACAACCUAUAAAGUUGCAAGAACCACUGCAUGGUGGAGGCAGAGAGCAUAGCCCAGGUUCAUCUUGUUGUUCUCUAAGUCAUGGUGGCACAUCUGGAGAUGGGACUUUUCUUGACUUAGAGAAAUCUCAUGAUCAUCAUACAAGGUUAUUAUCAAACACAGAAUCUGAGUUACGGGAGAAGGGUACAAUUGAUUACCAGCCAAUUUAUGGAACCAAUCAUAACAGAACAAAGUCUGGUGAUCCUAAAUAUUUUACACGAGGUAGAAGGUCUGUGCAAAGAGAACUGCUGCAUGACAGAAGAAGACCUGGUCGAAUGAGUGGAACAAUUCCUGCUCACCUGAAAGAUGAGGAUUCCCACAAAUCAGAUGCUAGGAUACUGUAUGAAAGGCGUAAUUCAACUGUGAUCCGAUACAGACAGAGAGAUAGACGAUAUGCUUUUGACUCUCAUGAAAGGGAAGAUACUUCACAUUUUAAGAGGGCAGAACCCGUUUACUCUAAUGCAGGACGAUUUUCUGAUUAUCCAUGCCGGGAUUCUUUUACAAAAAAUCCUGAGAUGGAACAUCAGUUAAGAUGUAAAUAUGACAAAAACUGGUCUGGCGGUCGAAGCGUGAAAAGAAAGCUAGAUCCUCUUGAACUAUCAAUUUAUACAGAUGAUGAAUUGUUGGAAAGAGAUAGACCCCAUUAUGGGAGAAGACUCACUGUUCAGGAUAUGGACACCGUUCCUUUUCAUGAAUCGGAACAAUGGUUCGAUAAGUAUAUUUCCUAUUCAGAUGAUGAGAAUCCCAGUCAACGAAUGCGGAAAAUAGAUCAGCUGCCGAGUAAGAAGAGAGUGAGGACUGAUGAUCUUGUAACUGAAUGUAAUUACAUCUACGAUAUCAUGGAAGAGACUGAUAACAGAUAUAGACCAUACAACCACAGGGAUACUAAUAUUCUAGAAGAUGGCUAUCAUGUAAAUUUGACUUAUUUCAGAAGAGAAAUUAAAAGCCCCAGUAGGGGCAAAAGGAGAGAUGUCAGUCCUUGCAAAAGUUCAAAUGAUAUAUGUUUCAUGGAUCUAAAGGAUGAGGAAGGGAGAUUUGAUGGGUAUCGACCUCCAUCCUUUCGUUUGUAUAGAGAAUCUUGUACUUCUAGCAGAAGGUGGCAGAGCCCUGAACUGCCACGUGGCAGACACGGAAUAUUCAGUGGGACUAGGAAAUGUGAUGGUGGUGCUAAUUUGACCAACUCCAUUGGUUCCGAUCAGACGAGCAAGUAUCCUGGUAAUCAGGACAAUUUUAAAAGAAGAAGAGGGGGCCAGCAGUCUGAAGGGAUGCAAUGGGUUGAAGAUGAAAACAGUUCUAGGUAUCAGCAAAAUAUAUUCGAUGCUGAGAGGACGUCAUAUUCGUUCAGAAGAAGUUCAAGUGACCGAAGGUUUAAUUCAUUUGACAAUAAUCAUGGACCCAACCCAGUAGAAAAGCUUUUAGAUGAUAGGCAUGUGGAGCAGGAAAAAUACAAAUUGAUCAGGGAAGGCAAUAAUGCCAGUCAAUUUGGUCAAGGGUCUAAAGUUUUUCAUAAAGAUAAUCAUUGGAGGAGAUUCCCAAGAGGGAGAGAUUCUGUUGACACGGGCUUGAUUGUUGAGAACGGAGAGGUAAUUUUGUGUAUACAAAUGUCAAGAUUGUAUAGUCUAUAUGUAAAUAUGAGUUUUCCAUAUAUGUUGGGUCCUGUUCCAUUGUGUGAUAUCAUCUCAUGCUACCAAGGUCUCCUAUUUCCCUGUGCGUUUGAUUUCAGAUUAAAGUUCUCAUGUUGCCUUGUUUUUUUUUUUUAAAAAAAAAUUGUUCUUGAAUUGACCCUUAAAAAAUUGAACUUGUCAACUCCAAAAUUAUAUUAAGCUUGCUAUUCUAGGAAUUCUUAUAUUAUUACCUUUAAGCAAUUGAUCAUCAGUAUUCUCUAGUUACUUAUGAAACCAUAUAAAUCUGUUGGUGACCAUUUAGUCGUUUAUUUCUUGAUCCUACAAAUGUGCAUCAACGUUGUUACUGACAGUCCUCUAUAUGUUGACGAGAAAAGAGUGUUUGCUUAAGGGACAUGUUACCAUUUUGUAGCUCCAGUUGGUGUUAGUCUUUUGUCACUUGAAGUACAUUAGAUAUCUAAUGUGAUAGCACUUUUGCAAAAAAUAAGAGAGGACUCCGAAGUUCAUUGUCUUUGUGUAGUUAUAUAGGUAAUCUUCUGCAACAGGAAUAAGCAAGUAAACUUUUUCUAUAUACUGCAAUUUUAAUAUCAGUAAAGCGGAUCUCAGUAAACUAGGCAGAAAACACCAAAUUGUAUUACUGGAGUAUCACUAAAUUGUAAUCAUGACGAGGCUUGCUUAUUCUUCUAACUCACGAGAUCUCAUUUAACACAAAUAGUUUCUAUUUUUGUGUUGAAAUGGGCUGUCAUUCUUUUUUCUCGAGUCUGAUAGCUUGAUAUGUCACUAGCACAAUGUUUCUGCAAGACUUCAUUGAUUGUUCUUUUAUCUUAAAUUGAGCAAUAGUUUAGGAGGUAAGUUGCCUUUGUAUGCCGGCAUUGGCAUAAAACUGUGUUUUACUUUUACUAUCAGCGUCAAACUACAUGUCCUGACUUUUUGGAUAUUAACCAUCAUAAAGUUGUGCUUAGUGCUUACACAAGAACUUUACAUGAUUCAACAUUCUAUCAAAUCUUAUAUUCUUUCUUGGCAUACGCUUUUGUAUGUGGGAUACCUUCAGUUUUUAAUAAAGUAUUAUAUUUGCUUUCAUUUAUUCUUCAAUACAACUUUUUUUGAAUAUGAUGACUUCAAGUCGUGUUCAAGAAUGUGAGCUGGGAAGUGAAAUAAGAAAAAGGAGAUCGCUACACCACUGAAGUUGCUGUCCUAAUGCAUGCUCCUUUUAUGUGUCUGGACAACUUUGCAUCUUGAUUGGAAAUGAUAAUUUUAGCUGGACAGAUAAUCUAUAUUCAAUUUUUGAGAGGCCAUAUUAGGUGUUGCUCCUGCUUGAACUUGGACUAGAAUGAAGUCUUGUUUUUCUCUUAUCAAUGGGAGGGGGUGUUCAAUGUUUGAAUAUGUAGUGCUUGGGAUCUUAAGUAGAUAAGAACAAAUUAAAAAUACUGAUAUUCUGUGUGAGCUCAUGACUAUUUAACAUCAUAUCUUGGAAGUAUUUUUUACUUCUGAUAUUCCGUUUAGUACAGAUGAUGGGGUGCUUUUGGUAGAAAACUAUGUCUUUUUGUAAGGUUCUCUACAUUUCUCCCCAUCUUUUCAAUAGAAUUGUUACCUCCAUUAUCCAAAAAAUAAAAAAGAACUAGAGUUAAUUAUUCUGUUUCUAGAAUUUAGAAUCCACACUUUACUUUCUUCAGCUCUGUUUGAGGUAAGAUCCGACCCUUCCUUGGUGGUGUCAAAGUUUUUUUAAAAAAAAACAAACUAAUAAUCAUAGAAAAGGGAAUUAGAUGUGGAGAAAACUUUAACUGCAUAUUUCGUCUCGCAAUUAUAGUGUUUUACUUCUGCUUCAGGAGCCAUUUCCUUUUCAUCAAUUUUAUGAUACAUUGAUACCAUUUUGUUAAUAUGGUCUCUCUGAUAUUUAUUUUUAUUUUGAUAUACCAUGACAGCAUUAUAAAGCUUUGUUAUUAUCCUCGUUCUUAACACAUUCCUAUGUUUUAAAUUUCUUCUUGGCUGCACUUUAUUGGUAAACAAAAGCAUGAUGGUCUGCUUUGGAAAGUCAUCUUGAUUAGCACGUAUGCUAAUUCCUUUUAUCCUUCAGCUCCAGUUAUAAUUUAUUACAAACACAUAUAGCCAUUGACUAUAUAGCUCUCUUCUGUUUAACUAUUUAAGUUACAUCCCCUUUCAAAGUUUCAAGUUUGUGAGUACUUGGUAUGAUAGUUUUGCCUUUGACAGUUAACAAGUUCUCUAAUUCUUUUCAUGGUAAGUUUUUGUGUCACGUGAGCUCACGCACGAUAAGGCGGCCUCUCUUCAUUAAUUGUGUAAACUAUCAGGAUUUUGAUUUUUGUUUGUGACCAUGGAUCUGCAGUCCUCCGGAAGAUGCUCCAAAGCAGGGGGUGUAACAUCCUUUGACAGGUAUAGCCACUUGGAUUCAGAUAGUUAUGUGGAGCUGAAGCCCAUCGAUGGAACUAGCAAACCCCAUUUCAGGAAGACACUCAGAACUCGAAAUGUGACGACUGAUCCUAAAGAAAAUGAUAAAGGAAGGCUUGAUAUAUUCUCAGAUGCCAACCAGGAAGAGUCUCUGGAUAUUGAAGAAGGUCAGAUAAUUGAAGAAAUGAACGAGAAAAUCAUUAAAAAGAGAAUCACAUGUUCUGGCAAAUCACAAAUCAGUGAAAUGAAGAAUUUCGCGUAUGAUAAAAAUGUGGAGGGACAGGACAACAACCCUAGGAUUUUGGAGAUCAUGGCAAAGAUGGAAAAGCGUGGAGAGCGUUUCAAGCAGCCUAUUGCUCUCAAAAGUGAUACAAAGAAUGUCUCUAAGCCUUUGGUUGAUUCGUUUGCUUUGUCAACUGAACCUAUGCAACCAAGACCAGCACGAAAGAGGAGAUGGGCUGCAAGCAAGGCAACUGUUUAAUGCUUGUAUUAGAGAAGGUGCGUCUCACUAUACCUUCAUAACUGGAUUUGUAUAUAGUGGCGUUUGAUUGAAGAAAUGGUUGCUGAUGGUAUAACUGGGGACGGGGUUAAGAAGUUUCCCAUGAAAAGAGGGAAAAAGAAAACACGUCUCAUAAAGAAUACUGUCUGUUUUGUUGCGCUAAAUGCGUUUUUUUUCCUCUGAAGUAUAAUUGAUUAUUUUGAUUUCAAAGGAUGCAAGGCUACCAGUGAUGAUGGUAUGGCUUGAGCUUUUAUUUAGUCAACUUUAUUCCCAUUUGGUACAAGCUUUAUUCUUGAGAAAUCAUGGUGUCUGCCAUGUAUAAUUUCUCAGUUAAGUUUUAUAAUUUUUUCUUAUUAGUUCCUUGAUAUGUUUCAGAAGUAGUGGUUUGGAAGCAACUUUCCUGUUUGAUUAUAUGGAUCUACAAGUUCAAGUUGCAAGCUUGUCUGAGAUGUUUUGCUUCAAUAAGGUAGUGAGUAUGGCGUAAUGUUAGGGACGGAGUUAGGAGGUUGCAAAGGGUUCAUUCAAAUCUCUAUCGUUGGAAAUUACAUUGUAUAUGAUCAAAUUAAUACUAAUUGUUUAUCUAUCUACAUCUAUAUUACCUUAAAAGCAUGAACUUCUAACUUGAAUGUUAAAUUACUAAAAUAUUCGUAACUUAGGUUGUGAUUUUUUUAAUGAGUUAUGACUUUUUCGAUAACUAGUGGAACAAAAAUGCGCCACGAAUUCACAUAACAAAUGUUGCUAAAAGUUAAUAUUCGUGGCAACUAAAAUUGUCACUAAAUUAUAUAACGAUUAUCGCUAAAAGAUUGUAUUAAUGGCAACUAAAACAGCCACUAAAUCAUUAAACAAUUGCCACUAAAAGAUAGUGUUAGUGGCAACUAAAACAGCCACUAAAUCAUUAAACUAUUGCCGCUAAAAGAUAGUAUUACUAGCAGCUAAAACUGCCACUAAAUCAUUAAACUAUCAUCGCUAAAAGAUAGUAUUAGUGGCAACUAAAACCACCACUAAACCAUAUGAGUCGCUGGGAAUAAAGUAUUAGUGGCAACUAAAACAACCAAAAAAUCAUAUAAAGUCGCCACAAAAAGAAAGUAUUAGUGGCAACAAAACCGCCACAAAUCAUAUACGUGUCGCUAAAAGUCAGUAUUGGCAACUACUACUGCCACUAAAUCAUACAAGAGUCGCCGCAAAAAGAAAGUAUUAGUGGCAACAAAAACCGCCACGAAUUCCUAUUAAAGUCGCCGCUAAAGAUUUGUUUUAGCGGCAACUUAAUCCGCCACUAAUAAAAAUAACAGUUGCCGCUAAAAGAUAAUAUUAGUGGCAACUAAAACCGCCACGAAAUCAUGUAAGUGCGCCGCUAAAAGUAAGUAUGAGUGGCAACUAAAACCGCCACAAAAUCAAAUAACAGUUGCCGCUAAAAGUCAGUAUUCGUGGCAACAAAAACCGCCACUAAUUCCUAUUAAAGUCGCCGCUAAAAGAUUGUUUUAGCGGCAACCAAAACCGCCACUAAAUUAGAUGGGAGUCGCCGCAAAAGAAAGUAUUUGUGGCAAAAAAAACCGCCACUAAUUCCUAUUAAAGUCGCCGCUAAAAGUUUGUUUUAGUGGCAACUAAAUCCGCCAUUAAUAAAUAAACAGGUCGCCGCAAAAAGAAGGUAUUAGUGGCAACAAAAUCCACCACCAAAUCAAAUAACAGAUGCCGCUAAAAGAUAGUAUUUGUGGCAACUAAAACCGCCGCUAAAUCAUAUAAGAAUCAGUGCAAAAAGAAAGUAUUACUGGCAACAAAAUCUGCCACUAAAUCAAAUUACAGUUGCCGCUAAAAAUUUGUUUUAGCGGCAAUUAAAUCCGCUAUUAAUAAGAAUAAAUGGUGCCGCUAAAAGAUGAUAUUAGGCAACUAAAACCGCCACUAAAUUAUGUAAGAGUCGCUGCAAAAAGCAUUAGUGGCAACUAAAACCGCCACUAAAUCAGAUUACAAUUGCCACAUAGUAUUAGUGGCAACAAAAACUGUCACAGUAAGUACAACAUAAACCGCCACUAAAUAAUAUAAUAGUUGCCGCUUAAAGAUGUAUUAGUGGCAACAAAACCACCGCCGCAAUCAUAUAAGAAAUGCCGCUAAAAGUAAGUUUUAGUGGCAACGCUAAAAGUAAGUGUUAUUGGCAACAAAAUCUGCCACGAAAAGUUUGUUUUACCGGCAACUAAAUCCGCCACUAAAUCAAAUAACAGUUGCCGCUAAAAGAUAGCACUAGUAACUAGUGUAUAGUAUAUGUCGAGUCUGCUCCAGUUGUUUGUGUAUUUACUUCUCUAAAAGUAGCUAAUGUUGUAACACAACAAAGAACAAUUGGUUUGGUCAAUUGAUUAUAUAGCCUUUCCAUCGUUUUACCAAGAGAUUUUUAAUCACACAAGAAUUUUUCAAGAAGCUAUGUCAAACUAUUUCCUCUAUCUAUCUGAAUGUGUCUAAUAGAUAGAUUUAUUUACUAGUGUAAUGUAGCCAUUUUGGGACCAAACCUACUUUGGUAUAUUCUUGGGUCAUAUCACUCACAUUUUAACAAAGCCAUGGAUAGAAAAUUAAUUCGAUUUGAUCUGAAUAAUCCUGACCAAAACCAAAAUUGUUUAUCUAAGUAAAUCAAAGGUAAACAUGAGUAGGAGUUCAACUACACCAUAGAAACUGGCAAUUGCAUUUAAAGUGUUUGUUUUUAAGCUUCUGGCAAAAAAGAUGAGCGAGCAGUGGUCUUAGUCGUUUCUCCUCCUAUUGCUUGUGGGAGCGGGGGGUUGCUGUGAGAGGAUUUUCAAAACAUUCACCAAUGCCCGUAAACGAUCCCAGAUGUUCAAACCAUAAAGAGUGUGCACCAGAGACUCUUGGAACUCGAAUCCAUUCUCAGCAAUAGGAUACUGCAAAAAGAUGGGAGUAAAGUUUACUUAUAUGAUAUGAAAUGUAUGAAGGAAAACAUGGUUUCAGUAGAUGAGCAACUCACCUGAAUAGGCUUUGGUAUCUUGGUUUUAAUAAAUGGCCACCACCGGUCCUCCACAACUGACUUUACGAGACAGCAAGCUCGUAAUCCUUCAAUACCAGCAAAUCUUCCAAAUCCACUGUCUUUGACUCCACCAAAUGGCAAGGACUGCAUAUCAUUAUUCAGGAGAAAAUGUUAAAAGGGCCCAUUUUAAAAGGAGACAUGAAAGAAAGGGGUGCAGGGGAGGACAAAAGGCGUUAGACUGAAAAGCUGGAAGUUCCAAAAUUUUAAACAAAAGAGGGUUUUAAGAGGAUAAACAAUGUUGGACAAAGCAACUACAACAACAUACAGAGUGUAAUCCCACACAAUGGGGUAGGGGGAGGGUAGAGUGUACACAGACCUUACCUCCAUCCCAGAGGUAAAGAGGUUGUUUCCGAUAGACAAAGCAAUUGUUUAACGUAAAGAACUUAUGGUCUUUUUAGGUAGUUUGCCUUCAGAAGAGAGAUUUCAAGGUACAUGGCAAAGCUUCAGGACCAAUAACAGGCGCAGGAAGGUCAUGAGCAUCAGGAGUUGAGAAUGGGAGUGAGUCAUGAGUGGAAAGGUAGGGUAACUUUUGAUAGUGUUUCGCAACAGUUACUUCUGGCUGUAGAAGAGAGAAGGUAAGGAAGCUAAUUUCUAGCUCGUCAAAUUUGCAAAUGCGGACAUUUAAAGGCAGAAAGAGGAUCUUUUUUGUUCUCCUUUGAUGUAAAGGUUAAGAAAUAAUAAUUAGACCAUGUGAGAUCUGUAAAUUUCAAGCAGAUGCAACAAGGUAUUGUCUGAGGUUCACAAAAUUCUCUCCUAAUUUGUAUGCAUACCUCAAACAUCAUAGCAAUGGUCACAUAUAAGUAUGCCAAACUCUUUGAUAAAAUGUUUCAAGAGCCUAAUGCCUACAGGUACCUGACACAUGUAAUUUGAUGCGAAGUCAUUAAUAGCAGCCACUCCACAAUGUAAUUGUGAAGCUAUAUGCCUAGCACGACGCUGACUGCCUGAAAAUACAGCACAACCAAGCCCAUAGCUUGAAUCAUUUGCAAGCUGAACAACUUCUUCAUCAGAGCUGAAUUUCAUUAUCGGCAAUAUUGGUCCAAAAGCCUGCAAACAAAUUGUCAUAUGGAGUUAACCAUGCCACCUUCAUCUCAGUAGUAACUAAAAAGAUAAUCUAUCAACUGAUGAUACCUCCUCCUGCAUCAGUUUCAUUGUGUGAUUUACAUUAACAAUCACAGUAGGAGGGAAGUACUGAUCAACAGCACCUUCACCAAUAUUGCCUACACUUCCUCGAGCAACAAUUUCAGCACCUUUGUCUAGGGCAUCAUUUACUAGGUAUUGAAGCCUUUCAGAAUGCUCUUGCAUGCAUAUGGCUCCCAUGUCAUACUUGCCGGACAAAGGAGGUCCCUACAAUUAAAAAAAAACAGUUUAAAUAUAUAAGUAUUUUAGAAAUCAGACUACGCUAGCAAAAUCACAAAUUUCAAAGUCAUUAGUUUUCUGCUUAGGAUUCAGGCAAUCAUUGUGUAUUUAUCGCUCAAUUCUAGGCAAACUAAUGCUUCUACGGUUCACAAUUAUUAGCAAACCAGAAUUUAGAUAGGAUCAGUGAGCAAUCUAACAAAGAAACCAAAAAGGCACCAUGUGCAAAAUGCUAUGUUUCAUGAAAGAAUAAAGAUCUUAUAAUGCAUCGAGUUGAAAAUAUGACACAAAUGAGAAAAGUUACAUACAGCAGUAACCGAUUUCACAAUUUUGACUAUUUCAGCAACAAAAGAAGAGUAAACAUCCUUGUGAACAUAAAAGCGUUCUGCACCAGCACAAUUCUGCCCACUUGAUUGGAGAGCUCCUCUAGCAGCAAUUUGUGCAACCUGCAUCAAAUUUGAUUAGUUCUUUUAAAGACUCGUGAGAAACAGAUAGAGAUGAAUGAUCGUCUUUCUUUAACUUCUCAUAGAGCUAUUUAAAUGAUUUUCCAAUCACAGUUGAAAAGCAAACAAAUGUACUUGACACCCAAAAUGAAAGCAGACAGGAAAAGUUUAUACAUGCGGCACAUCAACAUCUUCACAGACAAUAAAUGCGUCUUUUCCACCAAGCUCAAGGGUAACUGGUAUCAGUGUAUUUGAAGCACUUCGCAUAAUCUGUAGAACACUAAGAGAACAUUAGAAUUUAUAAUUCAACAGAAAAGAAAAGAAAAGUUAGUAAAAGGUAUAGAGAAGAUGAAAAUGGAGGUUUUAAGUCACUCUGUAUUAGAUGAGAAAAUAUAAGCAUGUAUUCUAUGUUCAGGGAGAGCCUACCUUUUUGCCCACACCAGGAGAUCCAACAAAUAUGAUUUUGUCAACAGAGGAUACUAGUGCUUCUCCAGUUUCAGCAAAGCUGGCAAUGAAAUUUUAAAAUGUAAGACAAAUCAUACCAGAACAGAAAGGAUAAAUGUUGUAUAAUGCAUACCCUGUUAUCACUUCUACCAAGUUCUCAGGAGCUCCGACUGCAGCAAGAGCAGUUUGAAUUAUUCGCAGAUAGAAACACCCGGACCAACUGGCAUGUUCUGAGACCUAAGGUAACAAGGAGGUUAUCUCGUCAAAAGUCAAAACCACAGCUUUUUUAGCAGUUUGCUUCCAUGACGUUGUAUAUUUUGCAGCUUUAUUUAUGUGUGUAUAUUUUUAAGUUCAAGAUCUGAUAACUACAUUUAAGCAUGCUAAUCUCAAAUAUUUUCCAAUUGCAUUCCAUGUUAGUAAAGUUCAAUCCAUGAGCAAACAAGCAAUGUAGGAAGUUGGAAAAGAAAAAAGAAGACCUUUAUCACAAUGCUGUUCCCUGAGAAGACUGCAGCCAACAUUGGAUUAAAGAUAUUGUGAAAUGGGUAAUUCCAUGAAACAAUAGCACCAACAACACCAAAAGGAGAAAAUUCCACUUUUGCAACCUUGUGAAGCAUUGAUCUCCCACAUGAACUGCAAGCCACAACACACAACCAUAAAUUCCCUUUACUCCCAAGGUAUCAAAGGCAGAAACCAUGUAAGUUAUGAAUCCACUAUUUUAUUGAAAUGCAAGGAAGAUAAACCAUUUUCAUAACAUACCGGUAUUCAGGCUUUAGCCACUUUUCACCCUCUGAAAGAAGCCAAUGGAUUUUUUCACAUGUAGUCAUUAUUUCUCCCAAGGAGGCAUCUACCAUUGUUUUUCCAGUAUCACGCGAAGAGAUACUAGCAAAAGUUGUUCAGAGAAAUCAUCCAACCCAGUCAAAUGAAAAUAGGAAAAUAAGUAGCAGUUUAGCAUGAGUAAGAGGCAAUUCCAAUGCAAUUAACUCUUAAGACCAAAAUUAAAUGUUGUCAUAUGUGAGAGAGAGAAAUCGAACAAACGGUAGGCUUUCAUAAUCAUGAGAUUCUUCAGUUACUUUUGCACUUGUUUAUUUAUGAUAAGUGAAACUCUAUUAUAUCAUUAGUUAUGUUGCAAAUUUUUGGACAGAAAACUUUAAAGCAACCAACACUUGGAAAUAAGGUCACUGACAUAAAGUUCUUAGUAUAUGAUUGUGAAACGAAAUUAUGCCCAAUGGAACCGUUUAACCUCAAAAUGCUUAGUACUCCAACAAUCAUGUUUCAAAGCACUUUCAAUCUAUUGGAAGAAGAGUGUUCACGUCAGAGCUAGAAGAGUGGGAGGGAAUAAAAUAACAAUAGCUGCUACUUCUGUCUGCAGCUAUCUUCACCUAUUGAUUAAGACCUUCAAAGUAAAUCUCUUUUAUUUCUUCUUUCUAAAGACGAGGCUAAGCCAACUGCAAAAGUUGUCUCAACUAUCAGUCUCUCCCGAAACAUUUUACAGUGUUACACCAUAGUAGUGUAUAACUCAAUCACCGAGAACAUUUCAUUUGGACGUCCAACAAUAUUAGGUCAUAAUUUGUGUCUCUGUACAUAUAAUGUUAAAAAAACAUGGUCAACAAUUAACCAAAAGGAUCUUAAGCAUUUCAGUAUCAUUCAUUCUGCUCCUCGGACAUAAUUUAAUGUGUCAAUACUGUUGGCAGUGUAAAAUAGCAGUUUUAAAUGGUAAGUGUCCCUACUUGCAUAUAAGGUCUUGAUGUUCAAUAAUAUACUUCAGAAGUAUACGUAGAAACAGGCGUCUUUGCUUGAAGCUACUCUUUGCCCAUAUCUUCUGAGCUUUCCUUGCCUGUACAACCCGCUCCUUAACCUGAGCAUGAUUUAGUUUGUUAAUUACAUUUGGCUUGCAUGUAUAUAUCUCACAAAAGACCGUGUUGAUUCUGGUUUUAGGGGCGAAGAACAAGGAAAUUAAUAAGAUUGCAGAUGUGAGCUGGAAUCUUGUAUAUGUUUAUCAUGUAAAGGUUCUCAUGAUAAUAUGUGGCAGCAAAGAGAAACAGUUAACUGAAUGCCCAAUCAAUUCCUGAUAAGAUGACUAAGUAUCUUUAUGCAAAACUUCAUAAAAGAACUUUAGAUACUGAACGUCUGAACCAUGUAAACAAGGGAAGGAGGGAAAAGGAAAAGGAAAAAUUAGUCUAGUGCAUGACAGGAAAUCUUGACAUUUAGUAUAGGGGAACACAAAUAUCAUAUUUAUAUAAGAACAUAAAUCUGACCUCAUCAGGUUUCAGCGCCGGGAAAUAACCCAGGUACUUCAUUGUUGCUGGUUCAUAGCACUGAACUUUGUCUGUAUGCCUUCUCGAGGGAAUCUAAAUGAGCAAAAUUAAGUGUGACAAUAUACAAGUGUCACAUUCUUUCACUUUACGGAAUGAACCAUAUAAAGUUCCACAAAAAAUAAGAGAGCAAAGUCCAUUUGAACAACUAAACGGACAUACAUACUACAUGAAAUCACAAACUGUGUCAUCGGACUUGUUCUCCUAAAGAGAAAUGCUUUCUUGAUAGUGUAAGUGAGUUGGAAGCGAGAGGAACUACUCUCAGUAAGAUGUGAGUUGACAAACUACAUAAAACUCAUAUUCUUGGAUGGAAAUGUUUUUGCAGUAACUUUUAACGUUUGGUUAUCUCGAAUUUGAGACAAUGUUUUGUCGAAAAAGUUAGUUCCAUUGAGAGAAGAAAAUUGACUUAAUAAACUUAUGGAUGGAACUCAUUUUCUUUAAAUAAAAUAUCCCCAUUCUAAUCUUAGUUCCAUUGAGAGAAGAAAAUUGACUUCAUAAACUUGUGGAUGGAACUCAUUUUCUUUAAUAAAAUAUCCCCAUUCUAAUCUUCUUUGUAUGGUUGAAACAAGAGAUAUGUAGCAAGAAUGGGGAUAUUUGAGCUCAUUCAUUCUCAAAUAUCCCCAUUCUUGCUACAUAUCUCUUGCAUCAACCAUCAAUAAGGUAUUUUUGUCAAAAUUAAGAUACCACCAAAACACAAUCAUCACAUUCUCUCUCUUUUCUUUUCUUUUGUUUAAAAGGUUAUGUCUGGGCCAGCUUGUGCACAACUUGGUUAAUCCACCAUAUAUUUUCUACCUUCUCACAAGUACUAUACCAUGUAAACUCAAGCUACCAAGGUUUAAAAAGAUAAGAAUAAUUCAUCUAGCAUAGCUUAUGUUGGGACUUUCAAUCUUGCUUCCCAAGGUUGUCUCAACAGUUAGCUACCCCCUAGGGAGCAAUUCAAUCCUCAUACUCUAUCCACCACCUUGUAUGAUAAUAAUAAUAAUAAUAAUAAUAAUAAUAACAUCACCUGCUUUUUUACUCAAUUUGACAUCGUAAAAUGUUUAAGUAAAUGAUCACUAGUGUAUGAUUUCUAAUGUAAAACACUUUCCACAUACCUCUAAUGGAAAUUCAAAUUGUUUUCUGCAAUUCAGUAAAUAUCUAUAUUCUAUAGCUAAGAGCCUCUUCAUAAAGAAAGAUACUACUAAAUGAGAGUUGAUGAAAUCCAACUAGUGAAAUUUCAAACACAAAAAGGGAAAAAAAAAGAAGCAAAAACAAAACAAUUAAACAAAAACAAGCAAAAUACAAACUGAUACCAUCUACAGUUCAAAUCAACAUCAGAUAAAAGUACCAAAUUCCAUUUAAGCAAGUAGGAAUAUCAUUCAUUACUUACAUAAAUGAAGCUGUUGUCUUUAGCCUGAUUCCCAUCAUCCAACACUACAAUACCAAAAACAUUAUUAAACAACCAACAAUGUAAUAGAUUCAAGAAUAUCAACAAUGUAAUACCAUAAGGAGUACAAGUACAACAACACCAUACCGGGAGGGUAGAGUAUACACAUACCUUACCCCAACAAAAGUAGAGAGGUUAUUUCCAAUAGACCCUCAGCUCAAAGGGAACAAUAGUCCAAAGAAGUCUAAUACCACAAGGAGUAAAAAAAUAACAAAUCAUCUAUUCACUUUGUCCCAAUUUAUGUGACACCUUCUACUUUCCAAGAUUCAAACUAUGUCAACUUGACCAUCAUUUCAACAUGCACUUUUCAUCAUGAGAAGAAUGUCAACUUAUAUUAUCUAUUUUUUUCCAAAAUACUGAGCUGAUCUAAUCUAAAUUAGAUUAUACCAUAAGGAGUUAAUUUUUUGUUAAAUAAAUCAAUUAAUCUACACCUUCUACUUUCCGAAACUCAAACUAUGUCAACUUUAACCACCAUUUCAACAUGCAGUUUUCAUCAUGAUAAAUUUUAAUUCUAAAAUACUGAGUUCAUCUAAUCUAUUCUAGUUUAGCUUCGAUAAGCUAAAAAUGUAACAUAAAUUGGAACUGAAUAAAUUACUACUACAACAUUACAUUUCAAAUAAGCAAUUUAAAAGUAGUUCAAACAGCAAAAUACAUAUGGAAGCUUACCAUCAGAAGUGUCGACAUCAAUGGAAGGGACAUUGUCAGGAAUGAGCAUCAACAGUAAUUUACAGAUCGCAAAUGCGAUAGCGAUAACAAUCAACGGCCACCAGAACGCCAUUAGAAGGUUUCUAGAAGCUUCGAAGAAGACUAAUUAGGGUUUUUCACACAACUCUUAGAAGGAAUUUGAAGGAAUCGCCAUAGCCAUAAGAGAGAAGAGAGAUUCUGAGUUCCUCGUAGACGUCGCUUUUUCAGUCUUCUAUUAAAUAAAUAAAUAAAAAUCAGUGGCGGUCUAAAAGUCGAUUUGCACACAUUUUAAAUAUUGAUAUAUUUUUUAUGGCUGGUUUGGCCGAUUGUACUGUUUAACUUGACUUUAUUUCAUAGCGUGGGAACAAAUAGACAUCUACGACUUUAUUUUAUAGCGCUUGAACAAAUAGAUAUAUACGACUUUAUUUCAUAACGUGUGAACAAAUAGACAUAUACGUCCAGUGUUUUAAAAGACUCUGUUGAAACUCGUCUCAGGGCUCGUUCUGGGGCGGGGCUCUAGCAAAACGCCUCGAGACUCAAAUGUGAGACUUACAUCGGAAUAAAAAUAAACUGCAAAAGCAACUAAGGAAAGUAGCAUUGAUGGAAUGGGGGAUCACACCUUCAGCGGAGAAAUAAGGUGACCAACCCUAACCCUUCAUUCUAUUCCAUAAAGCCUUGGUUUGUAAGACUUACACUCUAAGCGCCCGACUGUAUGCCCUAAGCACGCCCAACGCCCAACGCUCGAGGCUCGCCUUAUAGAUCUUACACAAAUUAUGUGCUAGAAACUUUAGUUAACAUUGUUGACCCUCAUAAUUCUUAAAUAAAUUAAUGAUACUUUAAAAAAAAAUUAAUCUAUAGAGAUAUGAAGAUCGAGAGUAAUUCAAAUAACAAGUUGUAGCAUCGCAUCUUUACUAUUUACACUGUGAAGGUGAUGAUUUAGUACGUAACAUUUUUUUUAAAAAUACGUAGCGAAAUUUUACUUUUCCACUUAUCAUUGGUCUUCAUGGUUUUGUCAUAUGUCUCAAAAUUAUCAUAUUUUAUUUAGCUAUUUGAAAGUGAUUUUAUUUUUUUCAUGAUGGAGUGAUGUUUUUAUUAUAAUAGUAGUAAGUUUUAUUGAUUAUUUUCUUCUUCUUUUUUUUUUGGAGGGGGGAAGGGGAGGGGUAAGGUAAAUCAUAUAGUAUGAUAAAAAUAAUUUUAGAAAUAAAGAUUCUUUUAUUAUAAAAAUUUAAGAUAUUAGAUUAUUUAUACUUGUAUAAUCAUGUUAGAAGUUUUAUUUUCUAUGAGUUUUCUUAAUCAUGUUUGUAAUUAUUUCAAACUAUUGAUAUUUUUUUUAUAAUUUCGUGUUAUUAUAUUAUUAUAUUAUAUUGUAAAUUGAAAUUUAAAGAUCCAUAGGGCUUACGCCUCGCCCUAUACUAAGUAAAAUGCCCCGCCUCACGCCCCCUCCUUUUAAAACACUGUAAACGUCCUACGUGACAUAAUCUAUGUAGGACAAUUAUAUUGUUUCAUUUUGGCAUAAAACAUAAAUAUGAUAUUUAACUGGAUUUCAUCUCACAUCUAUGUCCUUCAAUUUUUGGUGUGCACAAGUACACACUUAAACUUAUAAAGUUGAACGAAUAGACACAUGUCUUACGUGACAUAAUACACGUAGAACAAUUUGCAUCCUAUGUGGAUUAUGUUAUAUGUGAUGUGUGUAUUUAUUUGUUCGACUUUAUACAAAUUCAAGUGUCUACUUGUGAUUAUUCAAAAUUGAAGGACGUAGAUAUUAGUGUAUAUCUAUAUGCUUCACUAAUGAUCACUACGGGUUAAAUGGAAAUUCGGUGCAUAUAAUAUUUGUGUUUGUUGGGUUCGGAAAAGAGUCGCAUUCCGAAAAGUGUGUUAUAGAUAUUCUAUCCUAAUACAAACAUUAAUGACUAUUUCCAUAACUUAUAUCCAUAACCUACAGGUCAGAAACAAUUUUACCAUUACUCCAAAUCUCCUCGAUACAUGUUAGGAAAGGUAAAUUUCAGCAGAGCAUUGUCAGAAUCUAAGAAUGUUUAUAUUCUUUUGGUAAUACUCAAAUAUUAUUGUAAAAUAUUCCUAUAUUCUCAUAAAAGUAAUUAAUACAUAGUUUUUCUUUGCCAACAAUACUUUGCUUUCUGACAAAACAAUGCUUCUCUCAAAAUAAAGUAAACAAAUUAUGACUUCUCCUACAUGUUCAACUCAUGAAAAGAUACAAGUUUCUCUCAUGUUAUACACAUUUAUAACACCUAUCAAUCAUCAAAUAUUUCUACAUUUUAUGGUUUUUGUCAUCAACAACAUAUUCUGAUUUGCAUUCAUCUGGUAACUUCAUUUCACCUCUUACAUCCUAUAGACGUAGCGGAUUAUAAUAAGCAGAAUGCACUGACUCUGAAUCUUGAAUUUGUCCUUGCUUAGCGCGAUUGUUGGAGGUGAAGUAGUACAAAUUUGAGGUUUUUGACUUAUUUUUUUUCUUGUUUUUGCAGUCAUUUAAAAAGUUUAAUGAAGUAAGGCUUUUGGAGGCUUUGGAGGGAGCCAAUUCUACUCAUGUCUCAAGGAAAGAUGAAGGAAGGAGAUAUAUCUUACACAAAUGUCAAGAGAAAUGAUGAUGUAUUACGCGAUAUCGUGCAAGAAGAAGAAGAUCUUGCACAAUCAAUUGAUGAAAAGAUGAAAAAUGUCUCAAGUUUUCGACGUUUCAACAGAGUUCCUCAAGAACUUAAAAAGGGAAGUGAAUAUAGUUACUCUCCUAAAUUAGUCUCAAUAGGUCCUUUUCAUCAUGGAGUUGAUAACCUUAAAACUAUGGAGGAACAUAAGUGGUGUUAUCUCAACACACUUGUUAGUAGAAAACCAAUAAACACACAAACCAUUUUAGAUAAUUGUGUGAAAACACUUAGAAAUUUAGAGGAUAAAGCAAGAAAAUGCUAUAGUGAAAACACAUUUGAACAAAUUGGAAGUAAUGAGUUUGUUCAAAUGAUGUUACUUGAUAGUUGUUUUCUCAUUGAGCUCUUUAUCAAGUUUGUUAUAAAGGGUUUUCGACGUAGAGAUGAUAUACUCUUUAUCAACUAUGACAUGUUUUUCCGUCUUAGAUGUGACUUGAUUCUACUCGAAAAUCAGAUCCCAUUCUUUAUCCUUCACCAAAUGUUUCACUUAGUUCCAAUUCCUAAAGAAUGUACUUACUCCCUCAUGCAACUUGCUUUACUCUUCUUUAGAAAACUGAUUCCUGGUGAUGGACUUGUAACUAUAGAGAAAUUUGGUCCUAAUGUUCACCAUAUACUGGACUUGAUUCAUCAUUGUUAUCUUCCAACGAGUCCACAAGUUCACUCAAAUGGAACACAAAAACAUAUGCAUAAUGUGUUACAUCUUCAUGAUGUAGGGAUUAAGUUCAAGAAAGCAAUAAGUGAUAGUGUCAUGAAUGUAAGAUUCACUAAAGACAGAGUUUUGGAAAUUCCAUCAUUGAAAAUACAUAGCUACUCUGAGAUUUUGUUCAAGAAUAUGGUGGCAUUGGAGCAAUGUGGAACCUUUAGAAGUGGAGCAAAGCACGUUGCGUCUUACGUUUACCUCAUGAAAAGUCUUGUAAGGUCUGCAGAUGAUGCAAGUUAUUUGACAGAGAGAGAGAUUUUGGAUAGCAGUUUGUAUAAUGAUGAUGAGAUUUUUCAACUGAUGAUGAGGCUUCAUGUGGAGUUUGAUGUCAAGGAUUUUUAUUAUAGUGGACUUUGUGAGAAAGUUAAUGGAUAUAAGAAGAAAAAUAAGUGGAAAAAAUGCAGCCAGAAAAUUAGCAAUGUAUAUAAGAAGACUGCCAAAGGAAUUUCAUGCUAACAUUUGUUUUUCUUUCGUAGUUUUGUGUUUUUGCUGCAAUUUUAGUUUCUUUUGUUUGCAUUUUUACUGCACUAUGCUUGAGAAAUUAUUAUAUGGAGAUGCGGAAUUAUAUCUAUACAUGCUUGUUUGUUUUAUUACUGUAUUCAAAGUCAAAACUUUACUGUACCUCUUUGUAACUACGUCAUUUGUCCGUAUAUGUUUUGGCCUUUUCUUGUUGUUGCUUCUGCUUGUUAUUGUUGCAUCCUUUUCGUUUUUCGUUCAGAGGGCCUAUCGAAAACAAUCACUCUACCUUCUCAAAGGUAAGUACUACUCUACCCUCCCUAGACACUAAAUUUAUUGUUGUUGUUACAGCAAAAGAACAUAUAAUAUAGCAUAACAUAAAAAACGGUUCAUUAAAAAACUUGACCAUUAUACGAAAAUGUAGUUAGAUAUGGAAGAUUGUUAUAGAGAAAUCUGAUUGUAUUACUCUUUUACUUGAACAUACAUAUAUGGUUUUGAGUAUUAAGAAUAAAGAAACCAAUCAAUGUCAAACUGAAUUUCUUUGCUUCAUCUCAACUUCUUCACAUCUCAGAGAAAAGACGAUUGUUUUUCUAUACAAUAACACUAAGAAAAUAACAUCUGGUAAAUCAUGUUUACACAUUGGACAAUCUUUAUAAUCGAUGUCACAAUAGCAAAAGGAUAAAUAUACUACAUUUUUUCUGCAUAAGUUGGCUGAAAGCGAAGUAAAUUGCCCCUGUCGAACUCCAUAACUACUGCUGGCAGAUUUAUGAUUCAUCCAUAAAGACAGCGCCGUGUCCAUUAGCUUUCAUGAAUUUCUUAAUCAGAAGUGCAAGUAUAGCAAUUGUAAGUCCAACUGCUGCCCAUGUGAAGAAACGGUCAUCAGCCUGCCUCGGAAUGCUCUGUUGAGGUGUAUGCAAUAUUCGAUGCUCAUUAGGCCGUACAGCAGGGGGCUCUAUAGGUGCAUGUACAGGAUCAGCAUCUAAAGCCAAUUCACGUCUUUCUUCAGUAGUUGUGUCAGCAACAGAUGGAUUAGGACGUCUUUCUUCAGUAGCCUCAUUGCUGGGGUUCUCAGGACUCUCUUGAACCCCGUCCUCUCUAUUACUGUUCUGUUCUUCAGGAGCUGGUGAGGUAGUAGCUUGAGGAACUGGUGGUGCUUUGCUUAGCAUGUAAUCAUGUAUCUAUAAAAUAAACCAACUAUUAAUUCUCAUGCCCACAGAUAACAACAUAUUGGCUGUCAAAAUGAUAUUCAGAUAAUGCUAUACCUCGUCAAUCAGCUUCUGGCGCUCAGGAAUCCCAUAUCUUGGAGCCACAUCACGAGAUUUAAUAGCUAAAACACGCCUUUCUUCCUUUGUGUAUUCUAGUGAUCCAAGGGCACCAUUUGGGCUGGUAGGCAUAAAUGCGAUCAGAGCUACCAGCGCAGUGCGAACUGCAAAUCAAAAGUAAAACAAUUAAAUACAGGUUAGCUUCAGAAGCUGUGCACCUGCCAAAACAUGGGAAACAGCAUCCAUUAAUUCAGAAAACUAUACCACACAGUAGCUUGAUCCACCGAAAAAUGCUCCUCUCUAGUCAAUACAACUAAGGAAUAAUAAUUGCAAAAAAAGGUUGCUCACACUUCACUUUUUUAUUUGAAAUUUUUGCCUACUACAGUGUCUGCAUUUUUGUUUUGCUCAAGUACAGUACACCAGCAGCCAUUAUAAAAAAGUUUAGCGCACGUAUUCAAUCAUAUCUUCUAUCUUUUACAUCCAUCAACACAACCUCAUGCUAUAUUUCAAUAACAUAGACUCAGCUAAAUACAGCCACAAGUUAAAAGCAAUGGAGCAUAUAAUUUUCGAGGGAAAUUUCCAACUCAUGCAGAUGAAGAUAUCUUUUGAUGUCCUAAUAUGUCAUUGCCUAAAAUUUGCAACAAGAGGAACUGUUCUAUUGCUUUCAUGUAAACAGGGUAUCUGUCAAUAUAUCCCAAGAAAAGAACACUAAGACAACAAUAUGAAAGUGAAAUUCAUCAAAAUAUAACACAUAGGGAAAAAUGGUAAGAGAGAAUGAUGAAGUUACCACUCCAUGACGGUUGCCAGUGCUCAGGAUGAUGAUUAGAAAUACUCAAACAAAUCUUGGUUUGCGUUUCAAAACGUCCAUUUGGCUGAAAAGAGCAAAACCAUGAGUUAGCAGAUUAUUAAUAUUAAACAUGAAAUGAAUCAACUCUAAACCUAGAUGGUAAUGGAAUUUGGCUUCUCCUGUUUGUAGCCUGACCCAUCCACAAAACAGACUCCCUUUUGCACCACCACCCCCAUUAAUCCCAUCUAUUCUCUUUCAGUUUGUUAAUCCGCGUACCUUUUGUUUUCCUUUUCCAAACUUUUUCGCUACCCUCCUGAACGAAUUUGUGUAGCGGGGGAGGGGGGGCUUGGGUCACACCUCAAAACUUAUUCAAGAUUUGCACAUGGGGCAAAGCAACGACUUCCUUCAGACUCUUGAGUCAGAUCUUAUCGUAUGGUAAAAAAUUUCCUAAGAUUUGCCGACUUUCCACUUGAAUUAGGAAUCUCUUAGCCUCUUUUUUCCCAUGAUACCUUUUUUUAUCCCUUUUUUUCACAUCAAAACUUAUUAGCACCCUGCCCGGCCCAAUCUGUAAAGUCUGCUUGUGGCAGGAUGGGGUUUGACCAACAACGCUCGCCCUAUUUUAAUUAAUAAACCUUGUUCCAUAAAAUGACUCAAGGAGUAAUACAAGCUUUUAAAAUAGAAAGUAACUCACUGUCAAAAGCAUGAAAGAAGGAGGCUUGAAAGGAUAUUCGGCAGGUAACUGGAUUCGCCCAUGAUAAAUCCCCCCUUCAAACUCAGAAUCUCGUGGACCCCUGAUUGCAAAUUGCCAUUCAAAUAUGUUCUCCUGAAAAAGUAAUAUAAAGUUCAGUUUCAAAUUGCUGUGUCGUUGUGCAACUUCUAGAAUUAAAAAUAACUUGUAAAUGGAAGACAACCAGUCAUUUAUCAACAGAAUUUCAUGCAAGACGCAACCUUUUGAAAGUUAUAUCGACAGAAUCAAUUAUGAUGAAAUUCAUUUACCAGUGAUGGAUUCAAGAUCAUAUAUACACAUGUUACCUCAUAGGAAUAGAAGGAAAAUGCCCAAAAAUCAAAUCUUGACCAUGUAUAUCAUAACACCACAUAGACAUCACACAGAGAGCUAGAAGAGCACAUAGAUCAUUCAUUGUUAGUGAGGUUUAUUCUUCAGCAGGAUCAACUAAUAUCCUUGACAUAUGAACUUAGAUCAUAAAACUUUAUCGAAGCUUAAGAGUUUUAUAUCAUGAGCAUUCUUAUAUAGAACCACUAUCAUAUUAAAUACUAGAAAUCAAUGGUUGCUGCCUUGUCCAAUUUUCAAUUUAUUUUAUUUUGUCAGCAGUAAAUACAGCAAACAAGUUUUUGCCAAACAAUUUCAAAUUAUAAAACUUGUACAUCCAUGCAGGAAAAAUUGCAUCAAGGAAACAGCUGCCCUACCAAUGCAGUAAACCAUCACUUCCAUAGCAAACAAAUACACACACGCCUCCCCACCCCUCGCGACAAAGCAAAUUAGCUAUAUCCUCUUACCUUGAAUACCAACUAACCACACACCCUAUUUAUAUCUACACUCAUACAAGCAGACAAAUUCUCCAAUGUAUUGGACACUUCUUGCUUAUCCCAGUAUAUUUGACUAACUUUCAAAUGGAUCCAGUAAAUUUACUUACAUCCACUUGUUUCACAAUUUUAGCUCAUGUCAAGUGAAUUAGACUAAUUUUCAUAGCCAAAUCAAACUACAUUAAUCCUCAAUUCUGAAAAUUAACACAUAUAAUUUGCAAUUCACCUAAAAAGUUAAUCUUUUUAAUAAAUUUGAAUCUCACAAAGCAAAAAAUGCACCACAUUAAAAUUCUAGAUCCAAACAGAUAAAACAUGAAAGGAUAAGAUCGAUUUCAUAAGAAAAAAAAGGAAAAUUAAGCAAUUAAAUUGAAACCUCAAGAGGAAGGCUCAUGAAAUCAUCGGAAGGGUUUGAUUGCAUCUCUUUAACCUCCUGUAAGAUUCUCUUCACCGCUGGAUUUUUCAGAUUAUACUUGUCUUCCGCCAUAUCUGUUACUCAGAGCCGCUGCCGCUGCCGUCGCCGCCGUCUCUGGUCACCGUAAACCCACAGCCGGUCAAAAAGUAGCACCGAUAAUGAUGAAUAUGAAGAAAAAAAUUGGUGGGUGAGAAUAUAAUAAAUAUAAAGAAAGUGAAGAUGGCGGGUGACGCGUCAUCACUAUGACGUGGCGACUAAUUAUUGGAUAAAAUGACAAAAUCUUAAUGAAUUGUUUUAGUAUAAUAAUAAUUCAUGAUUAUGAAAAGAUUAAUAUAUUGACUAGAAGGGAUGGAUUUAUAGCUUACCGCUCACGCUUAUCGAAGUUAUGCUCGAAAACUUCGUCUAAGGAAUAUUAUAGAGAGAAUUUUAUUUAUAGCUUACCCCUCACGCUUAUCGAAGUUAUGCUCAAAAACUUCGUCUAAGGAAUAUUAUAGAGAGAAUUUUUUGUGUUACGAUAAAUUAUUUUAUACCAAUUGAGUUGUUAGAGGCUUCUUCAACGUGACAGUUAAGUACUAUAUUGUAGAUUACCCUAACUUACUUUUCCCUUACUAGGAUUGACUCUUUAUAAUUCUCAAUUUAGUAUUUAUGAUAGAAGAAAAUUGAACAAAUUUCAUGACAUUUACGAUUGAAAAUUUUGAAACAUUACUUGAAAAGCAUAGUCGCAAACUAUCGAAUAUCAAUCAUUAUUCCUUAAAAGGCGUGUAAACUUGAUUAAAAGAUUCAAGAUCCCAUUAGUUGAAAUGCAAAGUAUGAAACACAUGAUGUUGAAUUCUCAAAUUGGGGACUUGUAAUCUUGUUUCCUAUGGGUAAGCCUCGAAAAGAGGAAUGGGACACAAAAAGACAAACUUGUGGAGAACUUCACCAUCUAGAAAAAGUAGUCUUCUAAAACUCCAAAAAAUAAUUUAAAAAGAUGUAGCUAUCCAAAAACAUUAAUAUUGACCCUUUUAGUGUGAGACUAAAAAAACACCAAUGACCAAAAUCAACCAACACAUCUCCAUCAUGUUUUACUACACAAGAAAGAAAGAAAUUAAGCAACCAAGAGAGAGGCAUGGAAAAAAGGGCAAAACCUUAAACAACAUUGCAUAGUCAUACAAGUUAAGUCUGAAAAGAAUGAGAUGUAUGCAAAUCUUAUUUUUAUCUUUACGGGCUAAAAAAGUUUCAAAAAAGGCAAAAACUUUACCUACACAUAGUGAAGUUCUAGUUCUCUGUCCUAAUUCAUUCUUUCAAAUAAGUAACUAAAAACCUUGAAGUUGUUGAGGUACAACGUCGUUCCAGUAUGAUCCCACAAGUGAGAUCUACUAGAUACACAAAUCUUAUUUCUACCUUGUGUGAGGCAAAAGAUGUUUCCGAUAAACCCUAGGUACAAGAGAAGUGUUUUCAAAAACAGGUUUGACAAAUACAAAAUAAAGUCAUGGUGAAAAUACUAUAGAAAGUUGUUGAGAUACAAAAGAGAGAAAACCCACUGGACUUGAUAUGUAGAGUAGCAAAGAGAUUGGGGGGGGGAGGAAGCCAAGUGAGCUACCACUGUAAAUCUAAUGUACAUAUAUGCAGUAAAUGUUAAUUGUCCCACUCAAAUUUUAAUAUACAAUUAAGCAACAUUGAAACAGAAAAUUUGGCCUCAAGCAACACUGACCUCUCUAAAUUGAAGAAUAAACUUUUCAAGGGCAAAAGUUGGUGCCCAUACAUUGCAUACAAGUGCACAUAACUAAGGAAAGUGAAGAUGGAGUUGGGGGUAGAGAUGAAACCAAAGAAUAGGAGUAACCAAAAUUCUAUAGCUAUGUAAUGUUUUACAGGAGCAAUUGGAAAUGCUAAACGAAAGAGAAAACUCAAGACGGUGGCUAAUCUCUCCCCACGCUUGUAACAACACUGUACAGACUCCCCUCCACCAAUAGUUACGAAAUUCAACAAUCGAAUUGCCUGUUAGAUCAUCACUCAUGUCGAAGUUGUACAGAGGUGUCAUUUGAAGCAAAGCACAUGCUCAAGCAAUAUCUUAUAAAUCAUUGUAGGAGUCAAAAUGCCAUGAUGAUCUCAAAAGAGUCAUGAUCCAUUUACAGCCAUUUCAGGUGAUGAUUUUGGAGGUAUUAAUGGAUAAUCCUCUCCUCUCUGCCUAUUAUCAGGAGAAGUGUGCAUGCUCUCAGAAUAACUUUUAGGACCAUUUGGUUCUCGGUGGUCAUGAUUAUCCAAAUCAGCACUCCCAUUAUCAGUAGGAUUCCCUUUCUCCUCGUGGUUGGACUCGACAGAUUUCUCAUCCCCAUCUGAGCAUGGACCAUCUUGUACUGUACUAUCCAUCUUUUUAGAGGGUAAAACUGCUUGACUUAAGGUUGAGCAUAAAGCAGCAAAAACACUGUCUCGAGACUUUGAACCUUUAGCAAUACGCUGCAACCUUUUUGGCUCAGGCUCUUCUUUCUGCAACAGCUUACGUUUCAACGGGAAAGACUCCACUGACCCAUCUACAUCAGAAUUAUCUGACUGCUUCCUAGGUGGUGGCUUAUAAUCUUCAUCCUCAUCAUCAUCAUAAUCAACAAGCCCCCCAGAUCUAAAGAACAGGAGUCUCAAAAUAUGUUCCCUUAGUUUAAUAAAUCCAGAUUCCAGCAGUAACAGUUACUUACCUCACAGGUGAGACGCUUGGAGCAGAUCCAUUAGGCAAGGCCGGCUGAGACUGCACUCUACUUGCAUUAGUCACGAAUGCUGAGGCAGAAUCUUCCUCGUCACUGAAGGAUACACAUAUUCAGUGUACCAUAUAUAACAUUUUUACAUGCAAAAAAGUAAAGGCAUACCUCUCUUCAUUGAAAUAUUCUUCUUCUUCUUUCUCUAAACCACGGUCAUCAACUCGUUUCCUAGGGUCGUCUAAUAGAUUACCGAUACUUCUCGUUCCUGCACUGUCUAGAGACUACAAAAGACCCAAAACCAUUAUGAGAGCCAAGCAUCACUAUCAAGAGUGUAAUGGUGAACAACAGGCCCAAUGAAUAAUACCUGCUCAUAUUUAAUUUUCAAUGAGUGGAUCGAUGUCAACUUUUCAAACUUGACCAGUUCAUCCCAGAAUGAGUCGACUAAAUACUUGAGCAAUAUCUUCAAGUUAUCCUGCAUUAUAUCAUGUCAGAUCCUAAGAAAUAAAGAAGCCAUGUCACAUUUAACUUUUGCAGUCUAAGCAGGUCAAGGAAGUAAGAUGCAACCUUACGAAUAUGCUCAAAAAGUUCAAGAACAGCUGAGUUUAGAAGAUUGUAGCGAUCUCCAUUAGCAACAAAGACAUCAACAACAGGUUUUAGGAGAUUGUGCUCUGCUAUGUAGUUCAUCAAAUUCUCAUCCUGCAGUUCGUAGUCAGAAGAAUUUUAAUAUAUUCACAAAUAUACAGAAGGGAAACACUCGAUGAUGAACAUAAAAAUAUACUUCACAGUUCAGUCUGCCAAAUUUGUAGCUUAUUGGCGGACAUGUGAAAUGACAUAAGAAGAAGAGAGAAAAACUCUAGCCGAAAUUGAUUGGUUAUACAUGAAAAGAUGAAAAUUGACUCAUGGUUAACCAUGUUUUUGUGUACGUAAUUUGCAUCUCCUUGAUGACUUUCUAAUACAACAUCUUACUUCAUAAAAAAAAAAAAACUCAAUCAUAGUGAACUUACUUCAAACCUACUACUCUAUCUCAUAAGUUCUGGUUACCAGGGAUUUUAGUACAUAUAAACUUAAUUGAUGCACAUAAAAUCGCAGGGUAGAGGAUUUAAUUAGAGGGUGAAAAUUUAUCUGUGCUGCUAGAAGAGCUUCAUCAUCUUACUUUUACAAAUUUUUGUUGCACAAAAUCUUACAUAAUAUCAAAAAGUUAAUUACUAGAUCGAAGUUUGGAUUUGAUUCUUAAUUUUGAUCACCCCUAUUCUACGCCUCAGUGGACUCUAGGAGUCUAAGGCGGUGUUUGGAUUAGCUUAUUCAUAGGUACUUUUGGCUUUUAAGCACUUUUUUGGUUUUAGAGGUGUUUGGAAAAGUUGAAAAGUGCUUUUAAGCACUCACCUUUAGGCCAAAAAAGUUCAAAAAUAAGCCAAAAGUAGGGCAUCCCCUACUUAUGGCUUUUAGCUUUUGACUUAUAAGUUGCUUUUUAUAAGCUUAUCCAAACAGGGCACUAAAGUACUUCAAGUCUUUCCAGUUUUACCUAGUUAUUAUAAGAUAAAAACCUGCAUAAGAUAGGGUCAUUAAAAAAAAACUUGCAUAAGAUAGCUACCAGUUUCAUUCAACAUUAACCAAGUCUCUUGGGCAAUCAUGAACUCAUGAAUCACCACAAGACAAACAGAACAAGACAGAAAUAAGGAGGAUCACUAAAAGAAAAAUUACAGGCCCAUCUACAGUGCUAUGCGAAAAGCCUUUUAUUUUAAUGACCCAGACAUUCCCUGCAAAAUUAGCUGGCCCGAUCCCAGUUGGAGCACAAGUUCGAACUCAUGACAUGCGCCUACCAUGUAUACCACGCUAUACUUCAUUUAUCGUUUGACCAAGGGCCAAGGCCUUGGGGGCUACUUAUAUUAAAACAUGUAAGAGCAUUUAACGGGGUAAAACAUUCACCAUAGAGGACAAAUAAAUCAAAACUUGAUCAAUUCAGUCAUGUCCACAGACAACACUCUCUUGCUUAAUAAAAGUAACAACUCACAUUGCGGGAAAUAAGAGUUCUCAUAAAUCUAACAGCAGCAACUACCAGGUACUUCUCUCUUCUUCGAGUAAGAAACAGAACUUUAUCUAUCACAUUAUUAAGAAGAAAGUUGCACCUGAAACACAGAAAAGAUAUCCACAUUAAACCAAAUAAUCAAAUUUAGCAUUUAAGAACCAAGUAAUUCCAUACCAAGAUGAGAAGAUUACUUUAUUCUGUAAGGAUGGUGCACAAUACAAAAACAUAGGAGAUCACAAAUAUUUAGUAGUAUUUCAGGCUUGACACUACUUUGCUUUCCAGUCCCUCCAUCAAAACUCUCAGAGUUACUGACAGCUUGGGUGAUACCAUCCGUCGGGCAAGAUGAUGUUAUAACAUCAAUGAGUUGACUUAGGUGCUUCUCGUAGAAGAUUUCAACAAUGUUCUCUUUCUGGAACAAAAUUAAAAGAAAAUAAUAAAAACAAGACUUCAAAAUAGUUGUUGAAAUGUAAGAACAAUAAGAUGAGAGACCCUUUUAUUUAUUUUUUAUGUAUCGAACACAUUGUGCGGAAGGGGGGAUCUUUGCAAAGCCAAGAACCCAAAAAUUUCAUUUCAUAAUAACGGAUUGUGAAAUGUAAACUCAGAAUCUCUGCAUACUCUGAUGCCAUGUGGAUUAUGUGAACCACCUCAUCAAAGAACUUGUGCAAUUAAAGAGGAGACACGUGCAUUUUCUUUGUUUUUUUCUCAAACAAUAGCAAUCGAAUACUUCAAAAAGCAAUUAAGUCACAAAAAAAACUAAUCCCCAUCCCAAAGCACAAGGGAAUCAAAUUGGAGAUGCUUUGUUUUUCGAUAACCGGAAAAUCUGUUGCUUCUAGUUUUGAAACUAGGUGAACAAUGGGUAAACUCCUUAACCUUUUCCAUUUAACUGCCAAACUUGAUCCAGAGCAGGAUUAAAGCUCAUUGUGUGUGCCUGCCACAUAUCCUGUGUUGUGCACCUUUGCCCUUGAACCGAAGCCCUGGGUAAUCAAGUUUGCAGAUGCUGAACCGCCUAAAAUAGUAGUGCCUCCACAGGCAGAUACUAAACCACCUAUAGCAGUAAUGCCUCUACAAGUUCAAAUUUCCCAUAGGUAUAUCUUUAGAACUUCAGAAAGGAGAGAAAAUAUGGUACCACACAUCAAAAUCAAGAAAAGGAAAUACAAUAAUGAAGAAACCAUAGAGAAAAUAAAGGAGAAAAGAACAGUAGCAACAACAAAUAAUACGAUAACCGAAGCAUAGGAAACAACAAGUAUAAAUAAAAUUGAAGCAUAGGGUAGUGGGAGAGUACUAAUAAUAAUACUAAUAAGGGACCUACUAACCUUCUACCAUAAUCCUUGACUUCCAUAUCCUCCUAUCUAGAGUCAUGUUCUCAGUAAGCUGCAUGUGUGCCAUGUCAACUAAUCACCUCUCCCUAAUUCAUUUUCGGCCUACAUCUACCUCUCCUAAUACCCACCAUAGCUAUCUCCUCACUGGGGCAUUGCGCGUCUCCUCUACCCAUGCUCAAACCAUCUCAGCCUUGCCUCCUCAUCUUGUCCACCACGGAGGCCACACCCACCUUGUGCCAAAUAUCUUUGUUCCUAAUCCUAUCUCUCCUAGUAUGCCCACACAUACAUCUAGGGAACAAGCAGUAGACGUGAUCAGAAUAUUGUAAUGCAGUAACUCCACUUAGACAGGUCAGAUAUUAUCAGUAUCUAGGGAACAAGCAGUAGACGUGAUCAGAAUAUUGUAAGGCAGUAACUCCACUUAGACAGGUCAGAUAUUAUCAGUAACAAACAGUGUAAUCCCACAAGUGGAGGUCAGAUAUUAUCAGUCCGAAAUAGAAUUUGUUAAAGAUCACUCACCAUCACUAUACUUGGGAAGACAUAAGAGAAAAUGCUAGAUCCAUAAGGAAAAAAGUACAUUGAACAUUAUGUUCGAAGUGCCAACCCCGUCAUUAACUUGACCACCCAGAUUUUUUUGGACAAGGUACUAAAAUUUAACUACCCGGAAAAAAUAAAAAGCUAGAACUGUCGUGGCAAAACCAGAAAAGCUAUAAGCAAAGCACCUGUGAUCCUGAUGCAUAUGAAUCCAAGAGACUGCGCAGAAUUUCAAGAAAUUGGCAAUGCAUAUCAUCCUCAAAAUCUGUUAGCAUACCUUUGACCUGCAAAUUUGAAGCAUGCUAUUACUUACUUCGAGUACCUUCCAUGGUGGCACUAAAAUUAACAAAUAUGGUCUAAGCCACAAAGGACAUGUCUUUCUGCUAAAAUUACAAAAAUAUCCAGCAUAGGAAACAGAAAACAUCAAAAAAAUGAGAAAUGGAGGAAAGACCAAAUACUUCUCCAGCACCAUUUGAUAGUAACAUAAAGCCAAGAAAAAAGAAGAUGUGUACUAAAAUUAACAAAUAUGGUCUAAGCCACUACAAGGACUUGUCUUUCUGCUAGAAUUACAAAAACAUACAGCAUAAGGAAACAGGAAAUGUCCAAAAAGAUGAGAAAUGGAGGAGAGACCAACCACUUAUCCAAUUAUUUAUAUCAUGAAUCAAGCACCGCAUUCACAGCAUAGAAUAACUGACCAUUCAUACAUGACAGAAGAUGCCUCAGAAGAACAUGUUGGAGGGGGCAGGCAUUAGAUAUCAAAACGCAUAUAUUGAAGCACAUCAUUGCAAAAAUAAAUAAAUAUUACAUGAAUGAAUGCAUCUUAAGAGAAAGGUAACCAACAGCCAGAGUCACACUGAUAUACUGGAUAUUCCAUUAGUCUCCACCAUCAGGCAAAAGUUGAUGUAAAAUUCUAAGGAAAAGAAGAGAAGAAAAAAACAAAAUUUUGCUCACCAGAAGCCCAAACAGUGCAAGACCUUCCUGGCGAAUUACAUAAGACCGCAGAAGAUUUGGAUCUUGAUUCAAGAAAAGAAUGAGGAUGUCUGUCCUGCAUCAGUUAGAAUCAUUUUGGAUGAGAAUUUCAUGGAAGCAAAAACUACAAUCAUUUUAAAAGACGAAAGAAAAAGGAAAAGAGUCUACUUGCUAAAAUAUAACGAUAUGGUCCAUUACCCCGUCAGGACUAGCUUCUUGUCUUGGCUCUCCAAAACAUCAGCUAUGAUAUCGAAUAUGCCUUCGUUAAUAAGAUCCCUGCAACCAUAAUAGUAUUUGCAGUUCUAUCAGCUCCAUUUGCUAUGAAAGCAACAUAAGAUAUAUUAGACUGAUAUUAAUACAAAAGAUGCAGCAUAUGAUGCAUACCUAAAUAGACGAUGUUGCUGGCCCACCUGCAAACUCUUACUCAAAGUACAAAACUCAUGCAAAAAGUGCACCUGCCCAAUCCAAGAAAAGGAAAUAACAAGUAAAGUAAUGAUGAGACUACAAAUACCCUUUCCCAGAUCUCCCGAUAAACAUCAGAAUAAGGAACAAAAAAGUAAAGGGUGAUAAUACUACCAACAUUUCAAGAAUAACUGACAAAGGAGUGCACUAUAAAGGAAUAUCAUUAGCGCAAGAACAUGCCAAAUGUUAGGAACAGGUUUUUGGAUUCAUAGUGAAACAAAAGACAAUAAUUGUUAGCACAUCACAGAACAAACUGGACUACAGGAAAGUAGCAUCAGUAGUAAAACUAAUGUUAAACAGACGCAAGGAUAUAUAAGUUUACCAAUUGCAGUCCCACCUAAGCUCAAGGUUUUCCUACAUUUCCAUUAAACAAAUUUUAUAUCUGACAAGAUGAGUAAUAAGAGGGGAGAGGAUCUUGACACAAUCAGAUCCCUAGAGGAAAGGGUGGAGCUCGAUUUUUUGUCAAAAAAAAAGGGUGGAGCUCAAGUACUUCUCACCAGUUGGCGUAAUAAUAAAAUUUUACUUUCAGUUGUCAAAAUAAAUUUUCACCAGUUGAUUCUAGACCCCAAAUCUAGCCUACACAGAAUUAUUAAUCCAUAGGUUGAAGGAGACGAUCCUGGAUUCUACUCAGAUUCCUCCCCAGCUUGUAUUAGAACUCAUAACCAUAAUGCUGGUCAGGACCAGGAUGCACAAAACACACGCACCGUUUACAUUUAAAAAUAUAUGGAUUUUUGCAUAAUAUUGGGGGGUUUGGGGGUUGGGAUAAUCAAUUACCCUCAAGUUUCUGCUUUGACCAAUUCAAAUUUAAUGAGAAAACAGCAAGCAAAGAAAAUAUAAGAGAAUGACCAACCAAAACAAAAAAUAGAUGAGUCCAAUGACUAAACGAACAAGCAAUUAUCAGAAGCUGACAACAUAAUGAACAAUUAAAUGUCUUCUGAGAAAAAAGAAAAAGAAACCAACUAAUAGCUGCAAUGCAACAGAGGCAACCCAAAAUAAAGAGGAAACAACAAUUUUCUUUACCAAAUUUUUCUUUGAUUCUGCAGAUGUAGAAGGCAACUUUAACUUUCCAAGCAAAUCCUGAAUGAAGGUGCUAUCAUCUUUUAAGAGAGAUACAACCUAUAUCAAAACCAAACAGUCAAGAACUAUAUUAACCAGAAGAAACAACAUUUUAACUUCAGGAAGAAGAUCUUACAACUGCAUUGUUUGAAUGGAUUAUGGAAUUAAGGUUUGCAACUAUUGCAUCAUCCAACACUCGAGGCAAAAUGGCAUCCUGAAAGUAAGCCUACAAACUGUAAGUUACAUUGAUAGUAUAAGGAUGUCAUCUAAAAAGUAAAACAUAAUCACCUUAAGAUAGCCAACUCGGUAUGUUUGAUGUAUCUUCGAUAGGACUAUCGAAUCUUUAAUAGAUAUAGCCUAACACACCCACAAGGAAAUAACAGAUAUCAAUAAAUGCAAACUGAACUAACAUUGAAGACAUUUCAGCAAACAUUCCUUAGAGGUACUAUUGCAGCAGGAAGAAAAGGUGUAGAAAAGAAACAGUGUACCUCCUUAAAGACCACAUGCUCUUUGAGAAAAUUGCGAUGAUGAACAUGAGGAGCAUCUGGAUCAUCUGUUGACCAAAAUAUGAAUCAGGUCGUCAGGACAUUCCAAAAUGAGAUCAAUGUCUUCAGAGUAAGAGGUUGGAGUAAGGGGUUGGCCAUUCAGUAUAUAAUAAUUAAACAAAAAGUUCUAUAGGAAUUAAAAGACAUUUUAACUAAAAGUUGAAAGCACUAGGAUCAAAAACGUACAUUCAAGACACCCAAUAAUAUCUAUUAUCAGCUCAUCACCAAAUAUUUUUUCAAAGAUCUGAGUGCUAUUGAGCAUCACUGCAAGAAACCAUUUCAUGCUGAUUAAUUCAAUCCCACAAAACAAGCCAAAGCAUACCCAAAUGAAGAUGGGAGACAAGUAGGAAAUACUAACUGAUUCCUCUCACUAUUUUGAAAAUAAUGUGAAGAUUCUCAAUAUUCUCCAGAUCUUCGGAAAUCCUAAAUAAAUCCAUCAGCUUACGGAAAAAAACUUGCUGCAGAACAAAAGAACCCGGUUCAGUACGAUUCACCUAUUGAUCCGGAAAACAAGAAGACAAAUGAUUAAACAAGUAAUUCUUAACAUGAACAGAAAUCAAUAAAAAAGCGAAACACUUGUCUUGUUUCGCCCUUUUUGGGAUAGGAGUAGGGAGGGCUCCUCUCCCGUUUUUCUCGUCUUAUACAUAGCGUCAGAAACUCCUCGAGAGUUCACCACUAACUUGAAUAGAAUACUGCACUUUGCAUAAAGAAUUUUCACAAACAGUACAAAAGAGUCGGUCAUUUCCAACUAUUCCAAGACUUGUAAAAGGAUGAAGGAGGCAUGCAAGGAGACAGCAGUGACUGAAGAUCUUUCAGAGUUUUGCCAGCGACAGAAAAAUCUUUACACAUCCAGAGUGAGUAGUGGACCUAUGUUGAGCUACCAGCUGGCCCAGAUUGUUUUCAGUUUGAUAGGAAAAGAGCCAAAGUGGUGAAAAACAGGAGGGGUGAAGAGGGGUGGGGGAAGGGCACUGGCAGUACAGAGUACUAACCUGUACAUAUAGCCACCACUUUAAAGGCAGAGCAAAGUUUAUUAUACCAAUCAAAAUUUUACAUCUAACUUACACAAAACAAAGUUAUAAUCAGCUGAUGGUUCAGUUCCAAUUUUUCCAACUUAUCUAUAACAGAUAAUCAAGUUCUCAUCCAGUUUUUGUUAAUGUACUUGAUAAUUGCUUCAAAAAGGUGAAGACUGGACAUCUAUGUUUUCAAGUGGGUAAUGAAUACGACAGCAAUUAAUUCUGAAGCUGACAUGCUCGAAGCAAUUUCACAACCAUCACUAAUCUUCAAUUUCUUUGUUAGGAGGAAGAUAUUACUAAUGCUAAUUUGAGGUCAUGAAAUCCCUCAUUCCAAUGACAAUUAAUUGUCCAAAAAGAAGUCAAGCUUAGAGAACUGCAAGAUUCAUGAAGCUCACAUCGUUCAAUAUUAGUUCGGUAACACGCAACUGAUCAGCAAUGCCACCCUCUACAACCGUCUGCAAGUCAAACAAUAAACAACAUUUUCAGAAAACAGUAAACAGUAUGAAAAGAUUUGCACGACUCGAAGUGUAUUGCCUUCACACACAAAAGCAAACAGAGCUUUUCCUAUAUUAUAUACGCUAUACCUUAUAAUUUUUACAUGCUUUUUUUUUUGCACCCAAGGGUGUGGCCUAGUGGUCAAUGAAGUGGUUGAGAACCCUAAGGCCUCAGAUUCAAAACUCAGCAGAGAAAAAAAAAAAAAACUAGGUGAUUCUUACCAUCUGUCCUAGCCUUGUCCAGCCUUGGUGGACAGAGUUACCUUGGUACAUGUUGCUAGUGGGAUGUAUCCUGUGGUAUUAGUCAAGGUGUGCAAAAGCUGGCCCGGACACCACGGUCAUCAAAAAAGAAUUAAAUGUUUUUUUGGUUAGUAUUGAGAAAGCAAUCCCCACCCCCGCCUGUUGAUUACUAAGGCACACCCUCAAGUGCAACUUAGAGAUUUGGUAAUUAUCAAGGCAAUAUAAGAAAAAGACAUUUCAACUAUUUUAAGAUAAUAAAUGUUGAAAGGAUGACAAAGAUAAACCUUUAAUAUCAAGGGAAGCGUAGAAAGCUCAACGGGGGGUAACUCCUUCAAAUCACUGUUGACACUAUGAAAUGUCUCAUCUGAAAAUAGUAAAAGAAAAGAAGAAAAGAAACAAAUAAGUCAUGCACAUAAAACCUUUUUCCAACAGGUAUGAAAAAAUUAGUCAACAAAAAUAUCAAUAGUUAUUUGUAAGCACAAGAGAGCCCAAUGAUAGGUGUCCCAGAAGUAGGAGAGAAACUGUGUGGACCUAUUUUUGUAAAAGGCAGCAAUUUAUUCUUUCCUUGUCAUCAUCCUUCUAAAUUUUACUCUUCUUUUCCAAAAACACUCAAGACUACACCAUGUGUUAUCAUGUGACUCGUGUCUCUCCACUGGAGGAUCUCUGCUAAAGGUGGACAGCAGAACAUACCCUCAAAACCCCCAUUUGUCAGUUAAUUGAAAAUGUCGAAAAUGAAAUGUGAACUUGAGAAACAGACUUGGUAAUAUCUCUGGAAGCUAAUUUCUAUAUUUUGUAAUUAAGCAGGAGUACAAUAUCAAUACAUAUAAAGUUAAAAGUGAUCCUUGACAAUUAACACUUCGCCAAGAAAAUAAGAACAAAGGAAGAACUCUACCAGUCAAACGACAAAAUACACAUAACAAAUCAUUACAGAUUUAUAUAUCUUAGCUUCACGCCUAAGCAAUAGAGUAUAUCUGUAUAGAAGAACACCAGUAUACAAGAAGUAUACCAAAAAGUAGAAAAGCUUACAAAAAGAUAUGUCUUUCUAUGAAUGGCACCUAUUCUUUUUAUUUUUAAGUUUAUAUACCGAGAAAUCCAUCUAGAGCACAACCCUUAAGACAAACACAACCUUCAAAACUAGAGAGAUGAUGGGCACACCCUCCACCCUUCUCCAUUUAAAUACUAGGCUUAGGCUUGGCAUAAGGCUUGACCCCAUGACCUAAGCCACAAUCUUCCUCAACCUUUACCAAGUGAGCUAAGCUGUGCAGGGGAACUUACAUUUAAUCUUCUAUACCUACAGCAACCUCGUGGGUGCACCAAAAGGAAAUAAAGAAUAAGAAGAUAUUUCUCAAGUGUAAAAAAUCCAUCUCUAUUCCAUCAAAAGCUCUUAUAAUUUUCUCUCCUCAUAUAGUACAUAUAAGUAUUAGUGAAGUAACAUCGCAUGCCUUGCAUCUUCUCGUUUGUCUAGGACAAGUCUAGCUAAAUAAUACUUUUUUGAAGGAGAAUUUCUAUAGCAUGCUAUUUCUCAAUGCAUCCAGAGGAUUGCGGUGAAGCAACCCAAUAUCGUCAAUAACACAUCUCGUUUGACUCUGCCUAAAAUCAUCAAUAAUGUGCCUUAGAUAAACUAAUUUUGGUUCCCAGCAUCAAAAUUUAUACAUAUCAUGACAAUAGCAAUUAAGUGUUUAAUAAUAGCAACUGAAUUAUUCGUCGGGAAACAUUUUCAUGCUAAAUCAUGAUAAUUGCAAUUGAGUUUUACAUUUCCUGUUUGGCUAUUGAACCACAUAAUGCUAACCCAAGUAGAUUAAUCUCAUUUCAUUUUGAUUAAUUGGAGAACAAUAGACCGAAACUUUUCAAUGUACACACUGCAUAUAUCCUCAUGGGGCCAGAAAUAUGACUAUUCCCACGUGAGUACUAUAUUCACAGACAAACUUUUGAAACUCAGCAUCAUGGGAACUCAAUAAUGUUCCAUUUGUCAAGUGUACAAAAAGAUUACUCUAUAGACUCACUGUUAAGACUACUGAAGUGCAUGUUCCUUUGCACGCUACAUAUAUGGUCCCUACAAAAAACAAAAACAAAAAAAAGACAAGAUGUUAUCUGCUGGUGUUUCUAACAGCUUCUAUAAAAUCUAAGCAACCUUAAUACAAAUAGAUUAAGGAUGGUAGUAUAACCAAGAAAAGAGGAGAAAAAUACAAAAUCAAUUUCCAAAAACUUGCCAUAUAUAGGAGCAACCAGUCGUCUCUUGAAAGCUAAGAGCUAGUUCAGUUGAAUAUUCCGGAUCCCUCCAAGAUAUAAUUGUAUCUGAAUAGAAGAACAUGUUUUCUCAUGAAACUGUACACUAACAUAACAGAAGUAAUAAACAGGAAGAAAGGAGACAAAACUAUGGAGCUGGAGGACACCUUCUUGCUUCCGAUAGAUAUCAUCUGCACUGAUACGGUGCAGAAGCAAAGUCUCAUGAUCUUCUUCAUCAGCUACAAGCAAUCCUAGAUCUUCUGACCUCUGCAUUGACAUCCACAAUCAGAUGCAAUAAAAAUUAACCCCUCCCAAUCAGUGCAAAUGACACGUUAUUUGCCGACACAAACAAAAUGGCAUAAGCUGAACAUCAAUAUUCCACGAACACUUACCUCUAUAUAAUCUACAGUAACAUGACCUGUUCCUUGAUCAUCCCAUUUCCCAUCGUCAUUCAGGCGAUAGACCUUUACACGCUGCAGUGCAGAUGAGACAAAGGUUAAUAUUACAGAAUUGAUGUAAUACAAGAACAGAAUAACGACCAACAGCAAAGCUAAACAUAUUAGCAGGUAAAGCUGCUUAAAGUUCCUCAGCCUGUAAAGAAAUCAUAGUUGAGACACGGCAGGAAGUUUCUUCUUUCUUAGAGGUUUGUGUGUGUGUGUGUGUGUGUGUGGGGGNNNNNNNNNNNNNNNNNNNNNNNNNNNNNNNNNNNNNNNNNNNNNNNNNNNNNNNNNNNNNNNNNNNNNNNNNNNNNNNNNNNNNNNNNNNNNNNNNNNNNNNNNNNNNNNNNNNNNNNNNNNNNNNNNNNNNNNNNNNNNNNNNNNNNNNNNNNNNNNNNNNNNNNNNNNNNNNNNNNNNNNNNNNNNNNNNNNNNNNNNNNNNNNNNNNNNNNNNNNNNNNNNNNNNNNNNNNNNNNNNNNNNNNNNNNNNNNNNNNNNNNNNNNNNNNNNNNNNNNNNNNNNNNNNNNNNNNNNNNNNNNNNNNNNNNNNNNNNNNNNNNNNNNNNNNNNNNNNNNNNNNNNNNNNNNNNNNNNNNNNNNNNNNNNNNNNNNNNNNNNNNNNNNNNNNNNNNNNNNNNNNNNNNNNNNNNNNNNNNNNNNNNNNNNNNNNNNNNNNNNNNNNNNNNNNNNNNNNNNNNNNNNNNNNNNNNNNNNNNNNNNNNNNNNNNNNNNNNNNNNNNNNNNNNNNNNNNNNNNNNNNNNNNNNNNNNNNNNNNNNNNNNNNNNNNNNNNNNNNNNNNNNNNNNNNNNNNNNNNNNNNNNNNNNNNNNNNNNNNNNNNNNNNNNNNNNNNNNNNNNNNNNNNNNNNNNNNNNNNNNNNNNNNNNNNNNNNNNNNNNNNNNNNNNNNNNNNNNNNNNNNNNNNNNNNNNNNNNNNNNNNNNNNNNNNNNNNNNNNNNNNNNNNNNNNNNNNNNNNNNNNNNNNNNNNNNNNNNNNNNNNNNNNNNNNNNNNNNNNNNNNNNNNNNNNNNNNNNNNNNNNNNNNNNNNNNNNNNNNNNNNNNNNNNNNNNNNNNNNNNNNNNNNNNNNNNNNNNNNNNNNNNNNNNNNNNNNNNNNNNNNNNNNNNNNNNNNNNNNNNNNNNNNNNNNNNNNNNNNNNNNNNNNNNNNNNNNNNNNNNNNNNNNGGGGUGUUCUAAACAAAAUAUACAAAGAUAGAGCUACAAGAAUGUAGAAGAAUAUCUACAUUGGUCUCCAGAAAGGCACACAGAACAAAAGAUGCUACAAACUACACAAAUAUUCCAAUCCUUCCUGCACACCUGAAUUGGAGACAAUAUUUCAGCUGGGAACGACAAACCAAACUUAGUUCCCUCAUGUAACGAAUUUGCACCUUAUAAAAAAUAACGGGUAGCCUAAUCGUGCCUUAAUUAACUGUAGUACAUCUUUUAUUUUAAUAAAAGAGACAUCACAUAUCCUUUUUUUUCUGCAGAAAACUGGAUAGAGUUUAAUACCCAAAAAAAAAAAAUCCUUUUGAGAGAAGGUAAUUGUAGUUUAAUGCCCAAUCUCACAUCCAACAGAAUACAAUUACUCCCUCCACGACAAGUAUCAGAUGGUCAAGUUACUGGUAUAAGAAUAGGAAAUGCAAUAACCAUCUAUAUUUUCAAAUGACCUAACCAGGUAAUAUCCUACAUCAGCAUAAGGUCACCUCUACUGUUAUGUCGACUGAUACACACAAAGAAAUUUUACCAUUCUAACAAACUCUACACUAAAUGUGGCUCUUGAUAUCAAUCUGUUGAUCAACAAACAUGUCACAAUUCCAAUACAACUAGAGUAAGCUAUGAAGAUCCACAAUAUCCAUUGGCUCAUUCCAAUGCUAAAUAAAAUGCCUCAGACAAAUUAGGCUCCCUAAAUGAAUCUUAACUAUUUGGUACCACCUUUAAAUAUUCUUUAAAACAUGAUAUUCUAUUCUUAGCUACUGUUGCAAGUCAAGAGCAGAAGCAGACGGAGAAUCAUAACAACCAGCAUAUGGUGGACUAUUUGGAGGGAAAGAAAUCCUAGGUUUUAGAGAAAAUAGAGAAUAGUAUACACACACACACACAUAUAUAUACAUAUAUACACACACACACAAAGUUACAAUUUUCCAAAAAACAAAAUAGCAAGUUUGCCAAAGCUUCUGGGAAACCCAAAGUGCUUAUUUUAUUUAGAAAUGUUUUUGAGUAGUAGCAGAAGUUGUUUUUCAGAAGCUGAAAAAGUUUUUUUUCUCUGAAGCACUUUUGAACAAAUUGUAGAUCUAAUAAUGGCCAAAGGAUUUGAAAAGACUUCCCAAAUGAAAUUUCCAGACACAAACUGCUAUUUUUUUUAUGAAGUAGAGGCAUAUAAAUAACAAAAGCAUCGAGGAAAUGCGUAGGUUACAAAAUAAAGGAAGAACAAUCUGUCAAAAGACAAGGGAGCUGAUAAAUUCCGUAAAAGAGUAUGGGCUAUUCUCACUUGAUCGGAAAAAAAAAGUCAAGGCUAUUCUCCAAAAGCUUUUUUACUGCAAAAGCACUUUUGAUAAAAAAGCACUUCUCAAAAUAAGCAGAUUAUGGAAGCUUUACAAACAGGAUUAAGUCUUCAUUAAUUCUGAGAGGUUUUCGGCAUUUUGAGGGAACUUCCAAUGUGUGAUUAUAGGUUUCUCCCCCUCCUUUUAUUACUUUUUUCUUAAUAAGUAAUGAAAAGUUCUCCUUUAUUACCUUCAAUCCUCUUAUUGUUAAACACCUACCAAUCAGUGGAUUUGGAGGUUUAUGCAAGAUAAGACCUAAUAAUCUCUAGCAAUCUUCUCCGAUUUCGUCCUCUAUAUUUGCUCUUUCCAUCUUCUACCAGAUCUAAACAAUUUUCAUAUUAUUUUUUGAUAAAUAAAUAGAGCACAAAAAUUCAUGUCGCCGAAAAUGGAUCAUUUCUAAUAUGUCCAAUCUUGUAUUAUCGUAAACCAUCUCUUCAUUAUACAGAAGAAAAUAUUAUUAAUGUACAAGGACAAGCACUAAACUAAUGUUGGACAUAACAAAAUGGGAGGCCCAUAUAUACAAAAUACAAAUACAAAUCAUAUGACAUUCAUCGUGUGGACACAUUAAGCCUCGGACACCCACAUUUACACCCAUAUGUCAUUGUUGUUUCCAUAUAAUCGUGUUGGUCUCACAACAGCUUUAUAAAUUUGCAUAAAAUGUUGUUAGGUAUCAUCUUCUUUUUUGAGAAUGAUAUGCUGCUAGGUAUCUUUUGGUCGUAUAGUAGUCUUGUAAUACUCCAUUUUUCAACCAUAUUUUUUUUAAUGACCGUGGUGUCCGCCCAGCUUUCGUGCACCUCGACCCAUUUCAACCAUAUUAUUCUAAUUCAAUGUGUUACAUCUUCAUCUAUGAUCCAUCACAUCAUUCUUCCGGAAGACUAAAGCCCACACAUUUAGGUUGUCAGCAUUUAGGCACAAACAAUCCUAAAUUAUCUAAUUCACGAUCAUUCUUCUUAUCCUAAAACCCUUGCACAAUAAAGUGCUUCUCACAACCAAACUUCCAGCCUACUCCUUCACAUGUUAAACUUCAAACAAUCUAUCAAAGCUAUACAUCUCCACAAAAAUCAACAUCAGCUAGCCAGACUUGUUCAAUUUAUGCCCUCGUUUAUCCCAGACAUUGUUUAACCUCACAAAAGGUGGAGGAUGUUGAAUAUUGUGUGUCAAUACAAAGACAAAAUUGAUUCUUUCUUUGAGCAGUGUAUUAAGACAAAAAUAGCUUUGUGAUCUAUCACAUUAAGUUCGCUUUCUUGUUCCCUCAAUAACAUAACAAGAUCCCUAAUGAGACUGUACACAAUUUUCAAUUCUUUUUUUCCACAAAAAAUCCAGAUGGUAUGGGAAAAUUUUCUCCUGAUGCCUAACGAAAAAGUUGACUUUUAGAUUCUAACAUACAAAUCAAUAAUGCAGGUCCACUUUCAGUAAGACUGAUCAGUACCGAAACAACAUAACUUAGUCUAAUAUCAACUGCGGAGGGAUGAAUAUUAUAGAUAACAAAACCCAUAAGAAUUCAACAGGAUACAAAGCAAACAUAGAAGACAUAAUAUUCCACCUUGCCACAAGUACCUUCUGAAAUGAAACUGAACCAAAACAUAAAUGCUAGAGUAGCACUGCGGAAAAAACCCAGCAAAUAUGAUUUUUUGAGCUCAGCUACCUUCAUACAAGCCCCAAGGCUUUGACAUGUGUCCAAAAGUGAAAUACUUUUUUGGUAACGGAUAUAUUCUGAGACAGGUUAUGUAUUUCUAGCUCAAACGGAAAGACAACAACAAAGCAAAUUCCCCUCGGACCCACUUCAUAAAUACUCAUACCUAGAAAUCCCCUAAACCAAUGACUCAGUUUGAAAUUCACUGUAUAAUUGGCUUUCUCCACGAUAAAAGAAAAAAAUUGACUCCAACUCAAAAUAUAGCCGGUACCAGGUCCCAAGUCCCAAUAAAGAAGUUUCACAAUACCUUAGCAGCCAAAAUGCACAAUACACAGUCAAAUUCUAGUUAAAUAUCCAAUUCCAGCUAGUUCAAAAUUGAGACGUAAUCAAUUCCAUGAUAAUUGAUUUCAAAGGGAAAAAAAAAGCUAAAUCAGUGUGACUUUAGUCUUUGGGGUUACAAAGCAAAGAAGCGAUUUUCGACUGAUGAAAUUCUGUAUUUCUAGCUCAAAUGCGAAGACAACAACAAAAGCAAAUCCCCCUCGACCAGUGGCUCAUAUUCAAAAUUCAAUGUAUAAUUGGCCCGCCCCCCUACUCCUCUCCACUUCAUAAGCACGUUUAUCAUACUUCUUACCUCAAUUUUCAAACCAAUAAAAAAAAAGUAACCUCACACUCAACCUACAGAUGCAAAACAUAUCCUGUCCCAAUAAAGGAGUUCCACCUUACCUUAACAGCUAACAUAAAAUAGUUAAACUAAAAUCACAUAUACUCAAAAUCUAGCUAGUUCGGAAUUGAGACGUAAUCAAUUCUGUAUUAAUUAAUUUCAAAGAAACAAACAAAAAAGGAGCUAAAUCAGUGUGAAUUCAGUCCUUAGGGUUAUAUAAAGCAAAAGGAACGAUUUUUCCAAUUGAACAAUCAACAAAACUAACCUGCAUCGGAUUACUAGAGUUUGAUGACUUCUCUUGAGCACCCAUAGAAACUUCUAGAACCCAAAUUUCACUGUGCCUGCUGUUUUCGGGAGAAUGAUUGAAAUUAGGGUUUUUGAGUUGCAAAAAAAGGGGAAAGAGAGGAAGAGAUAGAAAUGAAGUAUUUGAGGUUAUUUUGGGUAUAAAUUCGGGAUCAAUUCAAAACCCUAACCGCCAUUGAUGAGUAGUGAAUCUUCUCUCUUUCUCUCUCUUCUUUCUCUCUCUCUUCGUUUCUUUUUCUUCUGAAGUGUUCGUGCCUGACCUGACCUUUGGGAAUACAGAAGCAGUACAUUUGUUGAUUGUACAAAAUGACUUUAAUGCCCUUAGAUUGUGAGAAAAAUAUUGGAAUUGCCACUGAUGAAAAAUAAUUUAUAAAAUAUUUAUAUUGAAAAAACUAAAAUAUAUUUAUAAUAAAAAAGUGUCCGGAUUCGUAUAGAGUAAUAUGUGCACCACUUUUUUAGAAGCUUUCGGCUUAGAAGUUUGUUCGGCCUUCUUUUUGACUCAUCCUUUGUUAUUGGCUUCAGAUACACCGCCUUAGGAUUUGGUGUGCUCGUUAAGGUUUUUUCACCAUUGUAGUGAAAGAAAAACGACUAUAAUAUUAUAUUUAUUACGAUUCAAUCUCAUAGCAUGUAUUGUUUAUUUUGGUCGGAUGAAUCUCGCAAAUUUGUCUAUUAGACAACAUUAUAGCCCAAAAGUGUGUGUACCUAUGAACUUGUCGUACGCAUUAUCAAGUUAUGCACUUUCAUCUCUCCUUCUGACGUGAGAUUCACCUAAAGUGUCAUGUACAUUGGUUUACCCUCCAAAUUCACGACAUUGCCUACCUAUUUGAUCAAAGUGUCUUACAAUUUAAUAACAAUAACAUAUUUAUAGUCUCGCAAAUAAGGUUUGAGGAGAAAGGUGUAUUUAUCGUCUUUAAUGAUUAAAUUCACACUUUAAACUAAAUAUGAUGACCAUCAUAUUGCCAUUUUGGUCUUUUCCACAUGGACCAAAAAGAUCUGUCUAUAAAAACAAAAUAUCUUGUAUUGCUAAGUUGAUUCUUUAGACAUAAAAAUAUAUUGGACCAUCCUUAACAACUUAAAAUGUGAAUGAUAUACACAUGUGAAACAAAUAAGGAAAACUAACCUUAACUAACUUUUGGAACACCAUUAAUUCAUCAUUAUCAAAACUCAAAAAAGAAGAAAAAAAUAUUUUAUUAGGUAUGCAAUAAUAAUCUAUAGUACUAAGAAAAGGGCCCACUAUUCAAGUGUUAAAAGAAGAAUGGAGCCUCACACAACUAUUGUUGGUUGAGCCACUAUCAUUAUAAAAAAAAUUCUCAUAUUUCGCUAAACUUUUAACUCACUCAAUGACAAUAAAUCACACAAAAAUUUAAAAAUACAAGAAGAAGAAGAGUAGAAGAUUAAAAACAAUUGUUGUUGAAAAAUGAGAGAAAGUCCCUCUAUUUAUAGUCAACAAAGGGUAGUAUAAACAAAUUUUUUUGUGUCUUAUCUAAAAAGUCAUGACCUUUUAUGAGAAAUUACAACCCUUUCGAAAAGUCAGAACUUAUUGAAAAAGUCACAAUCUUUGGAAAAAUCACAAUUCAUCGAAAAAUCACAACCCUUUGAGAAAAAUCACAACUCAUAUGAACAAAUGUUUUUGUAUCUUAUCUGAAAAGUCAUGACCUUUCCGAGAAAUCUCAACCCUUUGAAAAAGUUACAACUUAUUGAAAAAGUCACAACUCUUUAGAAAAGUCACAACUCAUCGAAAAAACUCAACAAUUUGAGAAAAGUCAUAACUCAACAAAAAAGUCACAACCUAAGUUAGGGAUAUUAUAGUAAUUUAACAUUCAAGUUAGGAGNNNNNNNNNNNNNNNNNNNNNNNNNNNNNNNNNNNNNNNNNNNNNNNNNNNNNNNNNNNNNNNNNNNNNNNNNNNGUUAUAGUAAAUAGUAUUUGCUUAUUUAAGCGAAGAUUUGAAUAAUAAGCUUAGCAAAACAUAAUACUCCAUCCGUUUCAAAAAGAGUGACCUAGUUUGACUUAACACGAAUUUUAAGAAAAUAAUGAAGACUUUUUAAAAAAAUUAUCAGUUAAAUGCAAUUAUGUAUACAUUUAUUUUAAUUUGAUGAGAUUCAAUCAUGUAAUUAGUCUUAUCUCACUAAUAUUACCUUAUAGAUAAUAUUUGUUUUUGCAUUUUUCUUGUCAUCUAACCAGAUGUGUUUUGCAUGUGUAUUCUACCUUAAAUUGUUUAGAUAUCAUAUGAACAUGUGAAGAGAACAACUAUAUUUUAUAUAUUCACAUAUUUUCACAUUUGUUGUGAGUUUUUUUUUUUUUUUUUAAAGAACUCGAAACAUUUUGAAAUAACAUAUUUUGAAGUAAGAAGAUCUCGUUAACUUGAUAACACAUUUGUGACAUAUAUAAUACUUUAAUUUAAAUACAAAUACAUACCCAAAUUUAAAUAUAUAUUUGCAUAAAUGAAAAUAUCUAUCUCAUAAAUUAGGUAUUAAAUAAAAAAUAAAAAAUAAACUAAUAUAAACUUCAACAUGCGUUAUUACAAGUCAUAUGAACUUUUCUUCGUCUAAAAUACUAAAAUAUUAAGAAAUAGUAAAUAAGUAAAACAAAAGAGCAAUGUUUAUUUAGUACUAUCUAUUUUGAACCAAACUUCCUGAAAGUCUAAAUCACAUGAAUAACAUUGAUAAAUAUAUUCAUUCUUUUGUCUUGAGCAUCAAAAACAAAUCGCAACAAUUCUCUAAAUUUGAGAAAAAGAUAUUUAGAAGCAUAUAUCUACAUCAUAAGAGAAAUUGUUAACAAAAACAAAUAAAUUUAGACUACAUAAUGGUAACUUCAUAUAUAUGAACAUUACAUACUAAUGUAUAUAUUAAGAAAAACAACAAUUAUUAUAUCAUCAAAAUUAUAUUAUUUUCCUCAAGUACUCGAGGUUAUGGACACUUUGAAAAAGUCACAACCCUUUGAAAAAAGUCACAACGUUAAUUAGGAAUAUUAUAGUAAUUUAACAUUCAAGUUAGGAGUUCAUGCUUUUAAGGUAAUAUAGAUAUAGAUUAGAAACCUGGUUGAAUUACCUGGUAUGCUAGUCAGUUAAGGACACUGUUUUUCUAGGAUAAACAAGAAAGCACUGAAAGAAGUGUUAAGUUCCAUAAGAUGGUUAACAGAAUGGAAAUUUUAGCCCAUAUUUGUAUAGCUCAAUCUAACUUUCAACAAGUGCUAUUUCUUUUGCACUACUGAGAUUAUACUCACCAAUCUGAUUGCAGAUUAGGACUCUAUCAAAGAGCCAUACCCAACACUAACAUAAAUAAGAUCUAUAUGUAUCAUUUCUCCAGUGCAGAGAAAACCUUAGGACGAUAGUUUUCAGCAUGCAUAGUUGGAGCUCAACAAUGGAUCACAUAGCUUAAACUUAAGGAAGACAAUUCACAUAUGCAGGAAAACAAUUAUCUCGAAUAAGCAAAUCCAUAAACCAGAUGACGUUCCACAAAAGACUAUACAUCAACAAAUCAGAUAACACUAGUUGGAGUCUGCUAUGUGAAUCCUCCAAAUUGAUUCAGCCUUCUUCCAUCUUCCCUUUUCAGUCCAACUAAAUAAUUGUAUUUUAAGACCAACUAGAGAUUUUCUAAAUUAUAAUAACAAAUGAUAAGGCUGAAAAACACGCUGAUUGCACAAGUGACGAAUUGCUAAAUAAGCAUAACAUGAAUUGCAAGGGUAGUGGCGUUAAUGUAAACUGUUUCCAUUGAAAGAGUAAUAGAUUAAUAGUCAAAACAAGGUUGCAUACUAACUCAAGUAUCCACUACAAAUACCAAAACAUCAAACAAAGCUUCAACAAACUCAAAGAUUGCCUGUCAUAAUGAAUAGCUCAUUACUAUAACAAUUCAUUUACUUUUCAGCAGAUUCAACAGUCUUCGGGUUGUGCUUCCUAGCAUACCUCUGGUUCCUCAAAAACUUGGGAUCCA